AUUUUUUUUUUUUUUUUGGGCCUUUGGGAGAGUAGAGGUAUAAGCUUUUACUUCUAUCUUGGUAUUUUACGAUUAAAUAUAAUAUCUUUGUAGCAAAUGUUGUUCCAAAUUGCACUAUUUAUUUGAUAACAAGGACAAACCGGCAUUAAUUGCAAGAUAACAUGUUACGGUCAAAUGCACACGCAAGUAUACGCGAUCGUCAAAUAAUAAAGUGACUAGAAGUCGGAUGUCGAACCCACGAGUACCUGUGAUUAACUAUUAACUAAAUUAGACUAUCCUAAUUAUCUAAACAAGAAUUAAACCUAAAAGUAUUUGACUCUGAACUAAUUAAAAUAAAGGAAAAUAAAUAGUGAACGUUGAAGAAAAGAAGAACAUAUUUUUAUGUUAUCAAUAUAAUGAAAACGAUCUAGGGUUAUGGGCUAUCAAACAUUCCUAUUGUAUUCUUCAAUUGAAUUGACUAACUAAUUCAUCUACUUUAUUGAUUGACAAGGUUAAUAUUGCUCGGAAGAAUGCGCCGAGUUCUUACUCGCCUAUUCAAGCUAACCUAAUAUCUAUAUGUCUAUGGAAUUAGAACUAACAAGUGCACAUUUAUAAUUCAUGUAAAUCAACCAAGUAAGGCAAUUAGGUAUAUGUCUAUCCUAGCUGCGAAUUCGUUCCCCGAUGCCCGGGUUCAAGAACUUGCUCUACUCAAUCCUAUAUGCAACCUAGAAUUCCCACCUUCGAGUUCAACUCUAGAUUCGUAGAUAGUGUUUAAUUGGAGAUCAAGCAAUCAAAUAAUUAAGCACAAGAUUGAAUAAAUAAACCAAUAUGAUAAAUAAGAAAUCAAAAUCAAUAUUCAAAUAACAACAGUCAUAAAAGAACCACAACCCUAGAACGUGAAGUUUAGCUCCACAUAGACAUAAUAGUAAAACAACAGAUCAUACAAAGAAACAUAAAAUUUUCUACAUUUGGUGAAAGAAAGAUAAAACCCGGCCUCCACGGAGGCUCUGUGCUCUCCCCUUGGUCCAAAGUUACUUUCAAAAAGUCCUUUCCCCGUCAAAAUAGGUUUAGGACCCUUUUUAUAAGAGUUGGAGACAUGUAGGGUCGAAAUAACAUUGUCCUGAGUGAACUAGAAAAAGUCCCGCCUCCAGCGUCCAGGGCAGCGCCUCGUACUGACCCUGGUGCUCAAACAAGUAGCUUUUCACGCUCAAAUCUUGGUUUUCGUUAAUUGCUUUGCAUUGUAUAUAUUUGUCUUCCAAUUUGGGGUACAUACACCAAAGGGUGCCCCCUUUGUCACCUUCUAUAAUUUCCUUUUUUCCCGUAUUUUAUUCAAUUUUGCUCUAAAUCUCUUAAUUCUCAUACCGCUUUAUUCUUAUACAGCUAAAAUAUAAUAUUAAGCAUAAAAUAAUAUACUCCUAUAAACCUGUUUGACUGGGCACGAAGUUUAAGAAAAAAUGAAGCCCUUUGGAAUUUGUGGUCCUAAAUAAUUCAAAAAGGGGCCCAGAGUAUUUGUGUGGUUAUAAAAGCUUCUCAUUAAGGGUAGAAUUAUAAAUUUAAGCAAAAUUAUUUCCAAAUUUAGAAAGGGGCCAUUCUUUUUGGAACGGACUAAAAAGAAAAUAGAUUCACAUAAACCGGAACGAAGGUAGUAAUUAAUACUCAAAAGACGAUUAAAAGUACUAAAAUGUGAGGCAACAAUAGUUAAAUAUAUGCAUUUUUUAGCCGAACUUCACUAUCCCACACUUAAACGUUGUUCGUCCUCGAGUCAACCAACAAUUCACAAUAUUCUUGAGCACUUUAUAUUUACACAUUUGAAGCACACUAAACCAAUGACCAUGGUUGAUAGCAACAAUUAAACUGUAGAAUAAACAAUUACUUACACUUCCCUUUACUUAUGUCAUUCUUAAAAAAUAUACAUAACAAAGACAACGCGCUUAUAACAAUUCUAACCUCAAAAACUGACUCAAUGUCACAAUGCACUCAUGGCUUGAAUACUCAACAUCGUCGAGAAGCCUAAUAACGUUAUCUAUCACUCGUGAAACCAUGUGCCCACACAACAAAAUCUAGGAGAGCAAAAAGAAUCCACACAUUCGAAUCUCAUGCUCGAAUAUAUUUUAAAGACUCACAUAUAUCAAAGAAAGUCGCUCACUUUCACAAAGAAGUCACAUGCAUGCAAAAGGUACCAUAUGCUUUCCCUUAAUGUAAAUCUCUACUAAUGCAGGAUCGCUCGUUGUAAUGUGGGCUAAGGGAUGGGUAGGAUAUAUUUUAGGAAUAGUGGCUAACCCUCCUUAGCACUUUAACAAAUCACAUGAUAAACUUUAAGCACAUCUUCUUCAACACCACUUCAGUUUCACAAACAAGAUCACACCCCAAAAAUAUUCCCUCUUUCUUUAAGCACUACCUUAAUUUACAUCCCGCUAGCAAGAACAAGACAACAAUUUAUUCAUCUAUAUUUUUUUCUUCUUUUUUCUAGAUUUUCUCUCUUCUCUUUUUUUCUCAAUUUCCGCUAGUGGUAUAAUAUUUUACAAAACAAGCGCGCCCUUGUCACGAUCCAAAAUUCACUAAAGGUCAUGAUGGCGCUUAACACCGCCGUCAGCCAAGUCAACAGUGGAUGAUUAACUUAAUUACUCAUUUUACUAUUUUUGAAAUUAUAAUUUUAUCAAUUAAGUAGUAAGGAAUAGAAUUUUUACAGGGUAACUGAUAGUAUUUUCAUGACUACAAUAAUGAACCACCCAUAAGCAAACCCAAAACCCGGUGUCACAAGUUCAUGAGCGCCAACUAGGAAAUAUAAUGCAUUACAAUAUCUGUCUCGAGUAAAAUUUAGACAUGAGAAUAUAAAUAACUCAUAUGGAGACUCUGCAGACUGCGAAUCGUAACAUAAAAUACAGCUCACGGUAAGCCCCCGCAUCAUCCGCGCCUAUUCGCCCAAAAGAUCACCAAACAUAUAUGAACCUCCACAAAAAUGUGCAAUAAGUGUAGCAUGAGUACGUAAAUCAACGCAUAACUAAUAAGUAUCUAGUCUAACCCCAAAGAAGUAGUGACGAGGGGUCGAUAUCGACACUUAUUAGUGGUCCAAUAAGACAGAUACAAUAAUAAGUAAACAAAUAUGGGGCAGAGUAAGUAAACGAAUUAAAUAAGUAUAAAUAUGUGAUAAAAUCCUUCUCUCAACAAUAAGCUUNNNNNNNNNNNNNNNNNNNNNNNNNNNNNNNNNNNNNNNNNNNNNNNNNNNNNNNNNNNNNNNNNNNNNNNNNNNNNNNNNNNNNNNNNNNNNNNNNNNNNNNNNNNNNNNNNNNNNNNNNNNNNNNNNNNNNNNNNNNNNNNNNNNNNNNNNNNNNNNNNNNNNNNNNNNNNNNNNNNNNNNNNNNNNNNNNNNNNNNNNNNNNNNNNNNNNNNNNNNNNNNNNNNNNNNNNNNNNNNNNNNNNNNNNNNNNNNNNNNNNNNNNNNNNNNNNNNNNNNNNNNNNNNNNNNNNNNNNNNNNNNNNNNNNNNNNNNNNNNNNNNNNNNNNNNNNNNNNNNNNNNNNNNNNNNNNNNNNNNNNNNNNNNNNNNNNNNNNNNNNNNNNNNNNNNNNNNNNNNNNNNNNNNNNNNNNUACACCGGCCCUUUUGACAAAUAAUACGCACGAUUCCAUAAAAGUAUUUUACAGAAAUGCCGAGGCGUACGACCUGAUCCUAUCAUAAUCUAGUAUAUAGACUAGUUUUUGGCUACGCGCAUUGCGCGUGUAUCUUGAUAAAUGAAUAUAAAAAAUCCUAAAUAUAUAGGAUAAAAAAUAAUUUUUUAUAUUGUAAAAUUAAUUAUUAAAAAAUAAAAAACUAUGUAGGCAUUGGUGAACAUGUGUGGCACUACAUUCCCAAAUAUUCAUCCAACCCUAUAGAGUUCAAGGAAGGUAUAGCCACUACAUUCCCAAAUAUUCAUCCAACCCUUCUCGAAGCCUACACUAUAACCCGUGAAAAGUCCUUAGUGAUCUAUAGCCAAGACAUUCUUGUAGGCAUUGGUGAACAUGUGUGGUGCAGCAGCCAAAGUUGGGUAAGAAAUGGCCAAUGACAAUGAGGUAACCAUAGAAACUCCCAUGGCAAACUUUUCAAUGAGAGCAUCCUCAGUCAGGUCAAGAACUUCAGGACUGAAGACAGAUCCAUUUUCAUAAACAGAGAGAACAACAAGACCAUAUGAGAAGGGCCUGAUUCCAAGUUUGGCAAGCAGAGCAGCUUCAGAGGAACCCACUUCGUCACCCUUCUUGAUGAGCUCCACAGGGGUGAUAAUUUCAACAGUACCCUUAUUAAUCUUGGUGGGAAUGUUGAGCACCUGAAAGAAAGAUGUCUGAGAGGGAUCCAGACCAGUGUUGCCAGGAGGAACAACAACAUCAACCUCAAAAUUAGCUAGCAGUCAUAAAGAGAGCCUAAGAUCAUUUCAGCAUCCAAUCAUUAAACUGAGGAUUGCAUUAAGAAACCAACCGGGCAAAUUCUAGAUAUCACAAGUUAAGCAUAUGCAUUAUUUAUACAAAUCCUCACUCACUCACAACACAUGAACUAUUCGACUCAGCAUAAUUUCAGCCAUCAAAUAAAUGCAAGGCAACUCAAAGUUUCAUCACAUGAUAUUUGAGAUUCUGAGUAAGCAUAAAGUCAAAGAGUGAGCCUCAAGUUCACUAGAAUGACUAACCAUCAUUUUUUUUUUGUUACAAAAUUAGAAGGGUAUAAUUUAUUCAACAAAAAUUCAUCACAUGCUUGAAGCCAUAACAAUCAACACCAAACAAGUCAAAACAUUUUGUGCUUUCGCCAUGGUUCUACUAUUACACCCUUGGAAAAGAACACGACGAAGAAAAACCAAGGGGAAUUCAUUGCUAUCUAUCAAUCUACAUUAUUAAAGUAGGAGUUUAUGUACAAGUUUCACACAAAAGUUUGACUACCCCACCCCCAACCAAAAUGCAUGCAUUGUCCCCAAUGCAUAGAGAAUGUAAGAGCAAGGUUUAGGGGCUUCGUAAGGCAGUUGUGGGGCCAGGUGCUGGCUCUGUGGAAGCGACAGGUGGAACCUCGGACUGUGUGGUGGUAUCUGAGGUUAGAACAGAAAGCGUCACCUGUUGUGAGGCUGGGUCUGGGACCUAGGAGCUGCUAGCCUCUCCCAGUGAUGGCUGUGUGGUUGAUGGAUUGGCCUUGGCGACCAUGUCUGUAAUAGAGUGUGCAUUUGUUGUCUGCACAUCUGCUUCCUCUUCAUCCUGGUAUCUGUAAUUGCUGCCGUGAUUAUUUCAUGCUCUUGGAUCCUUGUGGAAUGCAAUGACUUCCUCAUAUGAUGUGAGAAAAAUAUUAGGAAAAGUACUGUCUGGAUACACAACUGAGACGAAGAAGAAAUUAUAAAGCCUUCAUACAAAAUACUUUGCAAGACAUGAAAGUAUUCUUUGGUUUAAUAAGUCUACGGCAACCUACAAUCAUCCUGAAUUGACCUUCCAUCAAUAAUUUGAAUAAUUUUUGUUCUUUUUGAAAGUAUUCAUUAACUUUUUUUAUGAAAGUUUUCAAAAUUGGAACAUAACACACUUUUUUUAAAAAUAAAGGAAAAUGAAAACUUCAUUUGACUAUGUGAAUUCUAAUUGGUUAUGCUCUGAGGAGUAUAAUUGAAGAAAAAAAUAUUAUUCCUCCGUUUCAUUUUAUGUGGCAAUGUUUGACUAGGCACGGAGUUUAAGAAAGGAGGAAAUGACUUAUGCAACUUGCACUCUUACACAUGACAUAACAUUUUUGUGGCUAAAAAAGCUUGCCAUUAAUGGUAAAAUCAGAAGUUUAAAGUUAAAUUGUAAUAAAAGGUGUCAUUCUCUAUCAUUCCGGAAAGGCCAAUAUGGUGGUCGAUGCCUUGAAUCGUAAGCUUAGCAUACUUACCGGUAGCAGAGAGGCCUCGGGCCUUGGAUAACCAGGUUGUUCGAUUGGAUGUUUCGGAGCCGAAUCGAGUUUUGGGGAUGAAGGCAUAUUACUGAUGCAGGGCAGGCAAUGUGUGCCUAAUGUAGAUGGUUUGCGUGAGUUUGUUCUCCAGGAGGAUCACAGUUCGCGGUACUCUAUUUAUCCAGGGGCCGCAAAGAUGUAUCAGAAUCUGAGGCAACACUAUUGGUGGAGGCGAAUGAAGAAAGAUAUAGUUGGAUUUGUGGCUCAGUGUUUAAAUUGUCAGCAAGUGAAGUACGAGCAUCAGAGACCGGGUGGAUUUUUCUCUCUUGAUAGAUCUCUCAUUUGCAUUUCUAACUUUUGUAUGGGCGCGGUGUGGGACCUUAGAAGCUGGGUCAUGUUCUUUAUUGAAGUGUCAUUUCUUUCUUGAUUUUGCAAUACUCUUUCAAGCAUGUUCUCUAAUUUGGACUCACUUGACGAGCUUUCCUUCCAAUGCGAAGAGUUAGAGUAUUGCCCCUUUGGUGGAAUAUAGGGGUUUGAACUCCGAUUUGAAUAGUUAUUAUUGUUACUCCAAUUACCUUGAUUUGAACUACCUUGAUCAUUUCGCCACUGUUGAUGGCCUUGCCCUUGCGGGUUAGACCUCCAUUGAUUUUGUUGUCCGGGACCUUGGUAGGCUUGUCUUUGGUACCCACCUUGAGAGUUGUUGACAUAGUUUGCUUCCUCACAAUCUUCAUUUGACAAGGGUUGCACAUCUUUCACAAUAUUCACCUUUUUUGUUUGGCUUUCAGUAAACAUCUUGGUUAACACAUUGAUGUUAGUAGCAAGCUCAACAAUUAAUUGAUCUUUUUCUUGGUUUUCCUUAAUCAUGUUGGUCAAUGAAGGAGGACCAUAUUCAAUUCCACCCGUUGUGUCUUCCGAGUGCCAAGCUUGGUUAUGUUCUGCCAUCUUGUCAAGAAUUUGUUUGACCCUUGCAAAUGUUUUAUACAUAAAGGAUCCAUCAGCUGCAUUUUUUGCUAUGGAUUGAUUCAAGGGGUCCAAGCCCAUGUAAAAUUUCUCCAAUAAGAUGUUGUCCAGAAAACCAUGAUUCGGCGACCUCACUAAAUAUAAUUUGAAUCGAUCCCAUGCCUCAUGUAGAUGUUCUCCCGGUAGUUGCUUGAAGAAGAAAAUUUUAUCCCGGAGCUCUGACUUCUUGCAUUGCGGGAACCAUUUAGCUAGGAAAGCUCGGACGAGUUCAAGCCAAGAGUGAAUGGAAUUAGAUGGUAGAUUUCGGAUCCAUUUCCUUGCCUCUCCAGCUAGUGAGUACUUGAACACCCUCAUUCUUAAGGCAUCAUCUGAAACGUUGUUCUACUUGUCCAUCGCACACAUACCCAAGAAGUUUCUGAGAUGUUGUGUCGGAUCAUCAUCGGUGGAAUUUCUGAAAAACCCCUCUGCUUUGAGCAUUAGGAUUAAACCGUGUUCCACCUUGAAGGUGGCAGCAUUAACUCUUGGAGGGACAAUGGCGUUUGUAUCCUCAAUGUACUCAUCUAUAUCCGCAAAAGGGUUCUCCUCUUCUUCAAACUCAGCCAUGUUUACCUAGUAACACCAAGCAAAGCAAGCAAAGUAUGAUGGAAUAGAAGAAUACGUAAAGUAAAGCACACAUUAAAUAGUAAUUCUAAAAUCGUAUUCCCCGGCAACGGCGCCAAAAUUUGAUACGCUCAAAUUACACCUAAAUAAAUGGUGUAAGGCGGUCAAUGACAAAUAUAAUAACCCAACUAGGUUGGGGUCGAAUCCCACAGGGAAUAUGUGUGAAAAGAUUGCUUGAAUAGUGUGAAACUUGACUUAAGUCGUAAUUCUAUUCUAUUAGCUUGAAAAUGGUAUUGUAAUUAUAUGUAGUAAAGAAGACUAUUGUGUUGUAAGAAUGUAUUUAAUUUGAUUUAGGAAACCAAGGUUGUGUCCCCAUCGUUGGAAUGUAAUGCUAUCGGUGUUAAUAUGAUAUAUUUCUAAUGGAAAGUCCUUUGAUAUGCAAAUGGUUUCUAAGUGACUACCCAAUAUUUCCCAAUAGUUGGGUAAUAUCUUCUCUUUAAAAUUUUCCCAAAUAUAAAAGAGUUGCAAUUAAGAAUAACCAAUUUAUGCCAAAUAGAACCCACUUAUUCCUAGGUGAUUCUAUUAAAUAAGGUUUAAAGCCUUGAGUUUUUGAUAUUCAAUUCCACCAAACCCUAACCCACUUUUUCAAGUAAAGAUAGAGUGAAAUGGAAUUAGUUAAUGUUUGUAACCACUAACAAUACAUGAAGAAUAAGUACUGAAUAAAUAUCAACCAACCAUUAUAUAUAUAUUCAAUGGUAAACACCCAUUAACAUCACACCCAUUUAGGGUCCACAACCUUAGUAGUUAAAACUAGCUACUCAUACUAGAAUCCAAGAACAAAGCAAUAAAUGAAGUCAUAAAGCUUACAAAGAUACAAGAUUCUUUCUUCAAAAGCUUCCAAAAUAAUGGUGCAUUCAAUGCUCUAAAAGUAGCUGCUUUUUAUGACCAGUUUUCCCAUAAAAACCCUAAUAAAUCUAUUUAUAGUGAACAAAAAGUCGGGGUCAAAUUGGGACAAAAAUGCCCCUGCAGAACCCAUCUGUGAUCGCAGAAUGGUCGCAUACCAAGUAUGCGGUCCGCAUAUUUGCAAGGGUCGUUGUAUAAUCACAAGCCCAGUUGCCCAAUUUUCCAUCGCAUUUCCAUUAUGUGGUCCGCAUAGCUAUUAUGCGACCGCAGACUUCAUCGCAAAGCGCUCAAACAAAAUCUCUUGUUGCAAUUGUGCGGUCAUUAUGCGGUUUGCAGAAGUGUUAUGCGACCGCAUAAUGGGCCACAUAUUCUUUUCUUCAUUGGCUAAAAUAACUGCUUCAGUCUGCGGUAGGUCUGCGAUCCGCACAUCACUUCUGCGGUCGCAUACUUGCCGCAUAUCUUCCCUUCUACGGGUUUUUGACUUUUUUUGUGUUUUUGGUUCUUCAAGUAUCGCACACUGCAAAGCACCAAAACUUCAUAAGAAAUAACUAAAAAUGCUUUAAAAGACGAGCUAAAGUCUAUGCAAUUAGUAUCAAAAGUGCCGAAAUUCUACGGCACAUCAAAAAUUCACUAAAGGUCGUGAUGGCACCUAACACCGCCGUCAGUCAAGCCAACAGUGGAUGAUUAACUUAAUUACUCAUUUUAAUAUUUUUGAAAUCAUAAUUUUAUCAAUUAAGUAGUAAGAAAUAGAAUUUUUACGGGGUAACUAAUAAUAUUUUCUCGACUACAACAAUGAACCACCCAUAAGCACCCCCAAAACCCGGUGUCACAAGUUCAUGAGUGUCAACUAGGAAAUAUAAUGCAUUACAACAUCUGUCUGGAGUAAAAUUUAGACAGGAGAAUAUAAAUAACUCAGAUGUAGACUCUGCAGGCUGCGAAUCGUAACAUAAAAUGCAGCUCACGGUAAGUCUCUGCAUCAUCUACGGCUCUGCGCCCAAAAGAUCACCAGACAUAUAUGUACCUACACAAAAAUGUGCAGUAACUGUAGCAUGAGUACGUAAAUCAAUGCGUACCCAGUAAGUAUCUAGCCUAACCGCAGAGAAGUAGUGACGAGCGGUCGACAUCGACACUUACUAGUGGUCCAAUAAGACAGAUACAAUAAGAAGUAAAUAGAUAUGGGGCAGAGUAAGUAAACUAAUUAAACAAGUAUAAAUAUGUGGUAAAAUCCUUUUCUCAACAAUAAGCUCAACUCUCGAUUAGCAGUCACCUCCUCCACCGAAGUGUGUGUGUGUGUGUGUGUGUAUAUAUAUAUAUAUAUAAUGGACCUCACUAGAUGGGUCGUCAUAAUUCAAAUCAGGAAAACUCCCAGAUACACUGGCCCUUUUGACAAAUAAUACGCACGAUUCCAUAGAAGUAUUUUACAGAAAUGCCGAGGCGUACGGCCCGAUCCUAUCAUAAUCUGGUAUAUAGACAUAGAUACAUCUAUUAUAUAUAUUGCCGAGGCGAAUAACCCGCUCCCAUGAGAGUGUAGUACAUAAUCCUGCCGAGACGAACGGUCCGAUCCUAUAAGGUGUGCGCACUGCCGAAGGUCGAACGUCACUAACCAUAGAUGUAUCUAUCCUGCCAAGGCGAACGGCCCGAUCCCAUUAGAAUAAGAAGCUUUGAUGGGUCCUUGACCCCACUCACGAAGGGACAUGUGAGUUAUAAGAAGCUUUGGGGGAAACCUUUCGAUGAGAACGCAUAACGCGGAAGAAAUUCGUAAGAGGAGUACAAUUAUUUCGCGGCAAAUCAUGAAGCCCGUCGAAUCUCUACAAUAAUGAGUCUAUCGCUCUACACAAGUCUAGUCUCAAGUCAUAAUGUAAAAUAAAGGAAUCUAAUAGACAAGGGACUGCUCAAAUUGUACAGCUAUAGCAUGGUGUGAGUCUAAGUCUACCCUGACAAUAAUAUGGAUCUAACUACAUACGGACUCUCAUCACCUCGUGCGUACGUAGCCCCCGCAACAAGUAACACAUAUCAAAUACAUCACCUAGGGAUAGUUCCCCCCUCACAGAGUUAGACAUGAGACUUACCUCGCUUCGAAGUUCCAUAACCAACUCCAAAGCCUCUCUAACACCUCAAACCCAUGCCCGUCGCUCCAAAACUAGUCAAACAAUGUGCAAACCCAUAAUAAUAUACUCUAAUGCUCAUAACAAAUCAAUUUAAAACAUUUCCUACUCCGCUCGAAAAGGCGAUAAAGUAACCCUCAGGCCCACGUGCCUGGAUUCCGAAACUUUUCGAACAUAACCAUUACCCAUAACAUUACGAACUCAAAUAUAUAAUUUAUUCUAAAUUUCAUGUCCAAUUUCAUGGUCAAAAUCCAAAAAAAAAAUCGAUUUUUAGGUUUUUUUCAAAAUCUCAGAAUUUUUUUAUAAAUUUUCAUGCUUGAAUCCAUAUAAAAAUCAUGUAUUUAACUCACAAUGUGAAGAAAUCACUUACACCAUUAUAGUUGAUGAAGAUGGCACUCCAAAAGUGCUCCAAAAUUGGCUCCCAUAGACGAAAAUGGGCCAAACCCCCGUUUUAAAUAAGCCUCACUGCCCAACACGAAUUCCGCUUCUGCCGUGAGAAGGUCGCUUCUACGACAGCCACUUCUGUGGCUCUAAGUCUCGCACCUGCAAGAAACCAAGCCAAGGUCGCUGGCCGCUUCUGCAGCCCUCAUGCGCAUCUGCGCCCACGCUUUUGCGCCGCCCACUCCGCAGGUGUGGUCCCGCUUCUACGGCGAGAUGACCACAUCUGCGGUCUCAGCACUACCCAACGAAAAUUUGCAUCUGCGCCCCCUCUUUUCCGCUUCUACGGCUCCGCACUUGCAGCCAAAACCUCACAGGUGCUAUUACACCAGAAGACAGAUGUGUCAGCUCUUCUUCCAAGUCCAAACUCGAUCCGUUGAUCAUCCGAAAUCCACCCGAGGCCCUCGAGACCUCAACCAAAUAUACCAACACAUCCCAAAACACAUUACGAACUUAGUCGAGGCCUCAAAUCAUGCCAAACAACAUCGAAACUACGAAUUGCGCAUCGAUUCAAGCCUAAUGAACUAUUGAACUUCUAACUUUCACACCCGAUGUCGAAAACUAUCAAAUCACGUCCAAUUGAUCUUAAAUUUUGCACCCAAGUCCUAAAUAAGAUUACGGACUUAUUCCAACUUCCAGAAUUGAGAUCCGACUCUGAUAUCAAAAAGUCCACCCCCCGGUCAAACUUCCAAAAACCUCUAACUUCCAACUUCCGCCAAAUAACCCCAAAAUGACCUACAGACCUCUAAAUCUACAUCCGUACGUGCUUCUAAGACCAAAAUCGUCAUACGGAGCUAUUCCCAAGCUCAGAAUUCCAAACAGAUAUCGAUGGAAUUAAAAUACACUUCAACCCAAAUUUAUAAAAUUCUUCUAAAAUGACAAUUUUUCACAAUGAGCGCUGAAACGCUCCUGAAUCAUCCAAAACCCAAUCUGGACAUAUUCCCAAGUCUAAAAUCAUCAUACGAACCUAUUGGAACCUUCGAAUCCCAAUUCGGAGUUCGUUUACUAAAAAAAUCAGACUUUAGUCAAUUCGUCCAACUUAAAGCUUCCAAAAUUAGAAUUUUCCAUCUAAGUCAGCCCCGAACUUCUCGAAAUUCAAUUCGGACCAUAUAUGCAAGUCAUAAUAUCUGAAGUGAAGCUACUCAUGGCCUCAAACCAUCGAAGGACGCGCUAGGGUUCAAAACGAUCGGUCGGGUCGUUACAGUCCUUCUUUCAUUAGUUCCACUUGAAAGCCACCCCAUACUUAGUUCUUACUUCUUGUAGCGCUCAUUUCACAAUUACAGUGCUUUAAGAGGUAAAGGGAUCAAAAAAAUGUCAAUUAAUAACUAAAAGGGUAUAGGCUUGUAAUGUGUGUGCCAAAUAAAAGUCUAUAGGAUCAAAAGGGUUUACUAGGGAUCAAUUUUAUUUGUGAUAAGAAAUAUAGGUUAAAAAAAAUCAAAGAAAGCCUAAAAUCAUUUCUCAAACCGAGCAUCACCUAAAAUUUCUCUUUAACUCAUAUUCCACAUAUGGCACAUACCUCACUAAGGGACGGUCUCAUUCCAACUCUCAGAUUAAAGCAAGUAUUCACAGAGCCACGAGAUAUUAAGCAUUAAGCACAAAGUGAACAUAGGUCAAGUAAAUAAGACAUAGGCGUCACAAGACAUGCAAUCCAUAUACACAAGGCAACAUGAACGACUUCAACACAUGGGGAAUAUUCUAUACAUGUCAAAGCCUAAAUGUGCUACUGUCAAACAAAUCAAAGGUGCCUAGGUUCAUCUUUCUUCCUCCAUUUAUUUCCUACAUCAUACUCUAAAAAUAAAAAAAUAUUACUACCUAGUUCAAGUUACACCCCAUGGAAAAGAACCGAGGCCCAAAAAAUCCAUAGGGGGAUUAUUACUACCUAAAAAAUAAUAAAAAGAUAUAUUUUUAUAUUUUUCUGUUUUCAAAUUUAUUUAUUUUUUUGUAAUAUUUUUUGUUAGACUUUAAUCCCUCAAGAAAAUUGUCUAGGAUAUCCAUCGUCACGAAAAAUCCAAUAUUUUUCAAUAAUUAAUAAACUUUAAAAAGAGGAAGAGCGGAGUUUUAUAUUAUCAAUGUGAUGAAAAUGAGCUAGGGUUGUGGCCUAUCUAACAUUCCUAUUGUAUUCUUCAAUUGAAUUGACUAACUAAUUUAUCUAGUUUAUUGAUUAACAUGGUUAAUAUUGCUCAUAAGAAUAUGUCGAGUUCUUACUCGCCUAUUCAAGCUAACCCAACGCUUAUAUGUCUAUGGAAUUAGAACUAACAAGAACACAUUUAUAAUUUCUGUAAAUCAACCAAGCAAGACAAUUAGGUAUGUGUUUAUUCUAACCGCGAAUCCAUUCUCCGAUGUCUAGGUUCAAGACCUUACUCUACUCAAUCCUAUAUGCAAUCUAGAAUUCCCACUUUCGAGUUCAAUUCUAGAUUCGUAGAUAGUAUUCAAUUGGUGAUCAAGCAAUCAAAUAAUUAAGUUCAGGAUUGAAUAAAUAAACUAAUACGACAAAUCAAGAAAUCAAAAUCAAUAUUCGAAUAGCAAUAUUCACGAAAGAACCACAACCCUAGAACGUGAAGUUUAGCUCCACAUAGACAUAGUAGCCAAACAAAAAUCCAUACAAAGAAAUAUAAAAAUUACUAAGUUUGGUGAAGAAAAGAUGAAACCCAGCCUCCACGGUGGCUCUGUGCUUGUGUUUUCCUCUCAAAAACGUUCUUUCCCUAUCAAAAUAGAUUUAGUACCCCUUUUAUAAGAGUUAGGGACGUGUAGGGCCGAAAUAGCAUUGUCCCGAGUGAACUAGGAAAAGUAUCGCCUCUAGCGUCCAGGGCAGCGCCUUGCGCUGACCCUAGCGCUGAAACCAGUAGCUUUUCACGAUCAAAUCUUGGUUUCCAGGUACGUUUUCCUUCUUUCGGUUUUUUCUUUGCAUUGUAUAUGUUUGUUUUCCAAUUGGGGGGACGAACACCAAAGGGUGCACCCCUUUUUUUUUUUUUAAAAUUUUAAAAUUAAUCACCUAAAAUACUACACUACUACAAAAAUAAAAAUAAGAAGUUAAACUCAAAAUAAGAUGUUAACAUUUUUUUACUACUAACAUACUACUACUAACUAUCUAGAGAAAUUUUCUCACCCCACACUUAAAAAAGAGUGCGGUAUCCCCAAUGCACAAAUAAAGUAAAAAUAAAUAACAAGGGUGGAAAAGAAACUUCAUGAGAGGCCAAAGGCCGAAGUAAUAGCGGCUCACGGGGUACUCAGACUUCUCCAAGGCAUGAUCCUUUGUGCGGGCAUCUCACACUAAGUUCCAACCAUCUGUCUCACUUUUGCACACUUCAUAUAGCUUUGCUCCCUAUGCUCAAAAUCCUACAAAAUAAAACAACACUACAAAAAUAAUUCAAUAAGAAAAAAAAAUCAAACUAAAAGAAAGCAGUAAAGCUAGGUUACCUCCCAACAAGCGCCUGAUUUAAUGUCGCGGCACGACGUAAACAACUUUUUGCCUCCACCUCGAACUUAUGAAUUGAGCCCCUAAUUUGGCUUCAAGCUUUCUGUUAUGCUCCCGAGGUGGUAAGGAAAAUUUAAUUGGGCCAAGCAACCAAUAUCGCAUUCUACACUUCUUGGCUUUCGGAUGAGGUAUGUAAUUCUGUCUCUCUGGCACAACGAAUUCAAGAAUGUAAGCACCCCGUUCCUCGUCCAUUGACUCCUUAAAAGGCUCAGAUGACUCAAUUUUCAUGUCAUGAUCCAAACACAAUGUUGAAAAAUGUAUGGAAUGAGGACCAAUACUCCCUAACUCUAGAAUUGUAUUAUUCUUUACAUCCUCAUAGUUACAUGCACAAGAGUCUUCAAAUAUAACAUUAUUUGCUUCCUCACAUGGCUCUAGUGUACUUUUCUCAACAUGGGCAUCAUCAACAAAAACAUACUUGAAUGAUUGGCUCUCCACUUUUAUCUCCUCAAUUUGGCGUAUACUCUCCUUUUCAGCUUCACACAACUCAUUACUAUUUGUUGGGCAUUAGAACAUUAACCUUUGCAUUCAAUUGAGCCUCUAAGUCAUGAAUAGUAAUGCUAAAUAUAUCAAUCUCUUGUCCCAGUUCAGCUCUUCCUUCUAUAAAGUAUCUCAUCUCAUUUAUAAUUUUCUCACAUUGAGCCUCAUACAUUUCUAAUCUUCCAGCUUGUUCCAUUAGCCAAGUUUGGCUAAAAAUCUCCUCUUUUUCAAAAUUUUCUUCUAGUUGGAACUCGCUCUCUUUAUUCAAUUCUUCUAGAUUGGCCUUCAUCCUUGUGAUUGUUGUCCUCAUUCUUUUCAUAUCCUUUUUGAGUUCAUCAUGCUGCUCUGCUACUUGCCUCCAAAUAUUUCUAAUAUAUGCAUCACAUCCAUAUGCUGCACUUCAUUUGUCACGACCCAAUUUCCCCUCCGUAUGACGUCAUGAUGGCGCCUAGUCUUUACAACUAGGUAAGCCUAAUGUUUGCGGAAUAAUAAAAUGAAAACAUAAAUUUAACAACUAAUUAUAACAAUAGCAACAUAACUGGGUACCAUGCCGCUUGGCAUGUACAAUAACUAACUAUUCAAAAAUACCCAGAAAAAUAAAUCCCAAAACCCGGAACAUCGUGAAUCACAAACUCCAGAAGGAAAAACUAGUGUCUUUAUACAUCAGAGUCUAACAAAAGAAAAAUACAGAAGAUAAUGGACAUGUGAAAGAGUAGAAGGGGACUCCGAGGUCCGCGGACGUGGCAGAUAUACCUUGAAAUCUCCAAAGCUAUCCCGGCUCACUGAUAGUGCGGCUGAUAAGAAGCACCUAGAUCUGCACACGGAAACAUGUGCAGAAGAGUAGCAUGAGUACACCACAAUCGGUACCUAGUAAGUGCCAAGCCUAACCUCGGUCGAUAGUGACGAGGUCAGGUCAGGACCCUACUGGUAUAAAUAAUAAUAAAGCAAGGCAAGAAUGAAAUAUCACAGUAAAAUAAAGACUGAAAUUUAACAGGGAAGAAUUCAUAUAAGGUAACAGCUCAGUACACAGAAAUACAACAGGGGAUCUCCCGAGAUACCAUCUCUUAGUCCCAAACGCAAAUGUGCAGAACAGGAGGAUCUCCCUGAAUACCGUUCCGUAUUUCCAAAGUAAAUAUGCAGUAUAGGGGGAUCUCCCGGAAUACCGUUCCGUAGUCCCAAAGUAAAUAUACAGUACAGGGGGAUCUCCCGGAAUACCGUUCCAUAGUCUCAAAGUAAAUAUGCAGCCAAACAAUAGAAUUCAAUAGUUAUGACACGAAAUUCUACAGUUCAACCUAAGUACCAGUUAAGGAAAGACAUGUAAAUUCACUAAACAUGAUGCAUGUAGUUCAAGUAAAUAAUUAAGGCAAGUAGGCAUGCUCUACCCGAAGUAAAUAUGUAGCCAAACAAUAGAAUUCAAUAGUUACGUCAUGCAAUUCUACAGUUCAACCUAAGUACCAGUUAAGGAACGACAGGUAAAUUCACUAAACAUGCUGCACCUAGUUCAAGUAAACAGUUAAGGCAAGUAGGCAUGCUAUUCCAGUCUAGCCGGACACUACACAUGUUGAUGGAACUCAAAUAAGAAGGAAGUCAGGUUAUUAUUUAGAAGAAAAAUUGGGUUUUUACACAAUUUGCCCGUAUACGUACUCAUCACCUCACGUACACGGCGCUCAUGUAUCAAAAACAAUACUAAUUCCACGGGGAGUUCCUCCACACAAGGUUAGGCAAGCCACUUACCUUGAAUCAAGCUCGAUCAAUCAGUAAGAAUGCCUUUUCCACAAAUAUCCGACUCUGAAUAGACCAAAUCUAGCCAAAAUAAUUGAAUAUCAUAAAUACAACUAUAAUAGGCUAAUCUAAUUAAUGAAAUCAAGAUUUAAAAAAAAAUUUGAAAUCCAUCCUAAAAUGUCAACCCGGGCCCACGUCUCGAAAUCGGGUAAAAGUCACAAAAUACGAACACCCAUUCACUCACGAGUCUAACCAUAUAAAAAUUAUUCAAAUCCAACCACAAAUCCCCUUCCAAAACUCGAAAUCUUUAUUGAAGAAGUUCUUCUAAUUUUUUCCAAUUUCAACCCCAAAAUCCGAAAUUAAAGAAGAAUUUAAUGAUGGAUUAGUGGAAUAUAACCAUAAAGGAGUUAAGAAUCGUUACCCAAUCGAUAUCUCUGAAAAUCCCUCAAAAUCUCGUCCAAAUCGGAGCUCCCAACUCAAGUUUUUGAUAAAAUGGCAAAACCCCCAUUUUUUUGGAAACUUUAAUCCUGCCUAGUGAUUCCUUAAUCGUGAUCGCGGAAAUAGCCUCGCGAUCGGGAAGAACAACUUUGCUGCCCCAGAAAUUAACUCUACGCGAACGCGAUGCUCUGGCUCUCAUAUUUACGCGAUCGCGAACACCCCAACGCGUUCGCGAUGAGCAAAGCGCGUGGCCCAGAUUUGGUCCACUUAACACUACGCGAACGCGACCUUGGCUCUACAUUCGUGAAGCACAAACUCACUUCACUACGUGUUCGCAUGCCCAGGUCCGCGAAUGCGAAGAACAAUUCCAUCAUAUGCCCAUCUAAGCCUACGCGAUCGCGGAUCACCCCACGCGAUUGCGUAUAAGGAAACCAGAACUGAGACACCAGAAAACUUCAGCAACCUCAUAAGUCCAAAAUCGAUCCGUUGGGCAUCCGAAACUCACUCGAGGCCCCCGGGACCUCAGCCAAACAUACCAACCAAUCCUAAUACACCAUACGAACUUAUUCGAGCCCUCAAACCACAUCAAACAAUGCUAAAAUCACGAAUCUCCCUCCAAUUCAAACUUAAAAAACUUGAAACUUCAAAUUUCCACAACCGAUGCUGAAGCCUAUCAAACCACGUCCGAUUGACCCCAAAUUGUGCACACAAGACAUAUUCAACAUUACGGACCUACUCCAACUUCCGAAAUCAGAAUCCGACCCUGAUAUCAAAAUUUUCACUACCGGUCCAAAUCUCCAAAAAUUCGACUUUCGCCAUUUCAAGCCUAAAUAAGAUACGGACCUCCAAAACACAAUUCGGACAUGCCCCUGAGCCCAAAAUUACCUAGCAGAGAUAACGGAACCGAAGGAACUUCAUUCCGAAGUCAUCUUCACACAGUUUCGACUACGGUCCAAAUUCUAGUGCUUAAACCUCCAUUUAGGGACUAAGUGUCCCAAAAUACUUCAAAAAUCAAAAUGAAACCUCCCGGUAAGUCACAAUAGUAGAAAUAGAUAUGGGAGAAGCAGUAAAUAGGGGAUCAGGGCUAUUACUCUCAAAACAACCGGUCGAGUCGUUACAUCAUUGCCCCUAUCAAACUCAGAAACACGGUUAGAAAGAUCAUAACAAGGGCUCAAAGAAGGAUGAAAAGAAUUAGGACAACCAUCCCAAUGGCCAUCGUGACCACCACCACAUAUUACAAAUAUUCUACUCAAAGGAUUGAGAUUGUGCGCAUAACUCGUUCCCGGGAACAUUCUGAUAAUAUUUUUACCAGUGAGGUCCUCCACAAUAUGGACUAGGAUCAUCAAAAUAAGAAUAACCAUCAUUCGAAUAAUUUUCAUUCCAAGAUGCCAUGUUAAAAUAAAUAAAAAAUACUAACUAAACUAAAAAAAAUAGUAUAGAUAAAAAAAAAUAUCUAAUUUAGAAAUAUAGCUAAUUCUAAGUCCCCGGCAACGGCGCCAAAAACUUGUUGCAACCAAACGCACACCCAAGUAUACGCGGUCGUCAAGUAAUAAAGUGACUAGAAGUCAGAUGUCGAACCUACGAGGACCUGUGACUAACUAUUAACUAAAUUAGACUAUCCUAAUUAUCUAGACAAGAAUUAAACUUAGAAGUAUUUGACUAUAAACUAAUUAAAAUAAAGUAAAAAUAAAUAGUGAACGUUGAACAAAAGAAGAGAAAAUUUUUAUGUUAUCAAUGUAAUAAAAACGAUCUGGGUUGUGGGCUAUCUAAUAUUCCCAUUGUAUUCUUCAAUUGAAUUGACUAACUAAUUCAUCUAGUUUAUUGGUUGACAAGGUUAAUAUUGCUCGGAAGAAUCCGUCGAGUUCUUACUCGCCUAUUUAAGCUAACCUAACACCUAUAUGUCUAUGGAAUUAGAACUAACAAGAAUGCAUUUAUAAUUUCUGUACAUCAACCAAGCAAGCCAAUUAGGUAUAUGUCUAUCCCGCGAAUUCGUUCUCCGAUGCCCGGGUUCAAGAAUUUUCUCUACUCAAUCCUAUAUGUAACCUAGAAUUCCCAUUUUUGAGUUCAACUCUAGAUUCAUAGAUAGUAUUUAAUUGGAGAUCAAGCAAUCAAAUAAUUAAGCGCAAGAUUAAAUAAAUAAACCAAUAUGACAAAUAAGAAAUCAAAAUCAAUAUUCAAAUAACAACAGUCAUGAAAGAACCACAACCCUAGAACAUUAAGUUUAGCUCCACAUAGACAUGGUAGCAAAAUAACAGAUUUUUCUAUUAUAUAGAAAAGGCAAGUUGGUUGACCAAGGGCAGAAUUGUCAUUAUACUCUGCCACAAAAGUGCUUUUAACAAUGCGUGUCUUCAAAACUCUUUCGUCUGUUCCAACAGAACUAAGGCGUAUCCUACUAUCCUUUCAGUUCUCCUUUUUCAGACAUUAAGGAAUACUCUGUGCUCCUGUAUUUUCUCAUCUGUCUUACGAUUCAAGGUAUGGUUCUCUUAAAUUUUUCUCAAAUCAUCUUCGUCUUGUUUUUUCCUUUAUUUUAAGAUCUCUUAACGGUUUUCAUUUUUAUGGAUUCAUUUCCAUGGCUGCUGUUAUUUUAUGGUGACAAAACAAACUACAGAUGCAUGUGUUAAUCACUUAAUGAUGGAUUAAGUUUCGAUUUAAUUAUUUGGACUUAUAGUUGAAACCUAUGAGCAACCUGUCUUCUUUAUUUUCCUAAGCAGAGAUUGAAACUUUUCAUUGUACUUGGCAUAUUGUGGUUAGUAAUUUUAAAGGAUUACAGAAGAAUGUGAAUUUAAAAUGGAUGUUUAUCUUUUGUUCAAUUUAAAUAUGCCAAAGUUUAAUUAAUCCUCUGUUACUUUAAUGGAAAAACAUUGUUAUACUCUUUGAAUUAUUUUUUUACAUGGAUGGAGGAGUUAAUUACUUAAAUCGUCAUCUUAGUUAUGCAAAUACGGUCGUAAAAAUAAUCUACUUUUUAUACCGUACUUUGUUCACUAAAAGGCAUGUCAAUAACAUGGUUGUGAACUUGUCGUCCUUAUAUAUGUCAAUAACUUACUGAUAACGCGAACAUGACAAAAUGGUUGAAGAAGCUAAGAGGUGUUGUACCAAAAUUUCAAGAUAAAAGGUCUAGGAGAGUUGAAAUGCUUCCUUGGAACUGAAUUUGCUGGAUCAUAACAAGAAAUCAGAUGUAUCAACACAUGUAUGCUCUAUAUCAUUAAUCUCAAAGCUGUGAUUAGAUUGAUGAGGUUACAGAUUGAAUUUUUGGUAUAAGAAAAACAAAUAGGUAGUCAUUUAAAGCUCAAGUUGAAUUCGUUUAGGAACUCUUUGUUUUCUAACUAAUUGUUAUACUCCAUACGACACAUUCGCCUCUUGCAUUCUAACCUAUACAGAGUUGAUAUUCUAUACUAGAUCGAAGCUUAAUUAGAAAUUGAGCUUUUUUUAGUUGUUAACUAGAAAUUGGGCUCAAGUAAUGGAUAUAUAAGGAGCAAAUAGUUCUCGACAAAGCAAUGUUUCAGUUAUAUGUCUACUUGAAAGUAGUUUUAAAUAUGCAAACUUGUGCGGAGCAUAGUCUUACAUAUCUUGCUACAGCUCUUUCAGGAACCAAAGGUGAUUCUUCAGAUAUUACCAUGAUAUUGACCUUCCAUUACUAGCCUCGCAUCCUUUUGAAUGUUUAAGUAUUCUUGAUAUUAACGACAUAAUUCAAUUUUAUCAUUCAGAUCUACUGAUUAAGGAUUAUUAUUUCCUGUAUUUAGUAGGCGAACACUAGAUUAGUCUCACCAGUUAUUAAUGGUUCCAGGGAGAUCAUCUUAGCUUUCCGUAGAUGUGUCUAACCAAAAAAUGAUGUUCCUUCUGCUUUUGGUCCUUAACCAUCCAAAGUUGUUAAGGUAUUUUCAAUUGAAACUUUCAUUUUUGUAUUUCUUCUUUCAAGAUACUAACGACUUCCCUUUUUUAAGUUUCUUCUUAAAAAUAUUGCGUUAAGUGUCGUGGGAGCCAGAAGGAAAUACGAAGGGUAAAACUUCAUGUUAAAAGUAAGAUUCGCCAAAAACACUAGAUCCAAAGAGAUGUCUAAUUUUACUAAUUGAGAAAAUUUAUCUGUUUAUCUUCUCCGUACUUAUAAAAUGUUAUGUGAUUUUAAUUUAUUUGUUUUGUUUAUUAUGUGUAUAUGUUUUCUCUACUGGAAGAUCUGAAAAAUAUUACGACUUAAUUUUUUCUUUGUCAAGUCUUCCUAAUAUUAUCAUUUAAGAGCGACUUUUCUACAUGAUUGCAUUUACUUUCAUUUUGAUCUUCACAUUCAAUAUGUUUGAGAAUUUGAGAUUUGUGGAGAUAGAGACGCUUCCUAAAUGGUUCAAACAAGUCCCACAUUGAGAGAUACUCUUGAAACACUCAUAGACGAAACACUAAUUGCAAGAAAUGAUAAACAUGGACAUGAAAAUGCAAUUUUUGCUCUAUGAUGCUGACCUAAAGUAUAGUUAUAUCUUAUUCAUGAGUACUUUCACAAUGAAAAGGUUACAUUACUUGAUAUGUGUUAAAUACUGAAUAGGUGAUCCUUGCGGCCAAUAAAGUAUAACUUUUCUUGGUUGUAUAUCGUCAAAAUAGGAUUCUAGCAGUCAUGAGUCUCUUUGAUUAUGUUAUUGGCUAAUGUAGUAUCUGGAUAUAUGUACAUGGAGACUGAACAUAUUGAUUCUUUUGAUAAAUUGUUGACUUAAUGAUUAGAUUCUUGAAGCUCAAAUAAGAAUUCACCACUUUAUUGACUUACCAAUUAGAAUGUCUCCGACUUAGAUCCGACGGACUUGGAAACUUUGCUCUAUGUUGCAAGAUCUAUCAUAAAAACUUGAAGAGGUGCCUUCCACUUAUGUAGUUUUGUAUCUUCUGUCUAUUUAUUUGGUUAUUAAUCUUUUUCAGCGGAAUCCAAUUUAUUUGAUAUAUUUUGGAACAGGUUAGUAGCACAAAUGAGCCUCUAAUUUGCAUUUACACAUUCUCAGAAGGAAUUUCUUUCAAUACGUGCACCUAAUUUUUUUUUUCGAGAAUUGUAAGCUACUUUCUAAUGAAGGCUUAAAGGAUUUUGCUUCUCUGUGUUGAAAAUUUUCAAGAUUUUUAUGUUAAUGCGCUGUUGAUAUGCAAGACUUGUAUGAAUAUAUUGUGAUCGGUACAAAAUACUAAAGGAGAUUGGCUUUUAAAGAAAGUAUUUCGACUUGAACGAUAACCGUUUCGAAGGACGAAUUCCUCCCACGCUUGGCAAUUUUGAAUUCCUCCCACGCUUGGCAAUUUUUCAAAAUUGUGGAAAUGUUAAGUGCACUUUGAGUUGUCAUUGUCAGUAUGUGGGUUUCUUUUUUUUUUUUAUCCAGAGCUAAAUAUGAUUUGUCAUCGUUCACUUUAAUUCAGAUUGAUUUCCUAAGUUCAAGUAUAUGUGAUAUAGCUUGAAUGGUCGUUUCUAUGAUUGAUAAAUAAUUUGCUUCGUUCUGCGUCUUCCCUAAGCAUCAGACUUCUUCGGUUUUUGCAUAUCAAUAUUUGAGACAUUUGAUUUACAUGGCAUGUAUUGGACUUUUUAAGUUUUUGUGUCUUCACGUUUGAGAAUUUGAGUUUACAUCACCUUGUAAACAAAGAAUAUUUGCAACAUUUGAAGUCAUUUUACAGUCCAAGUUCUAAGGAUCAUGCUUAGUUGUUAUCUCUUGGUUACGGUUUUAUGUUUCUUGAAAUUAAGCAAUGACCAAUCAUAUUAGAAUAUGCAUAUGCAAAAUCAUCAAUAUUCUGAAUGAUAUGUAUUGGUCCAUACUGAAACCAAUUCAAGGAUUGAAAAGAAAAAAGAAAUCGUCAGAUGCUCGAAAAUGUGAAAUGUUGGGCCCAUGCUUUGCAUGGGCUAAAUCUAUCUAGUUUAUACAAAGAAACAUAAAAAUUACUACCUUUGGUGGAAGAAAGAUGAAACCCGACCUCCACGGCGGCUCUGUGCUCUCCCCUUGGUCCAAAGUUACUCUCAAAAACGUCCUCUCCCCAUAAAAAUAGAUUUAGAACCCCUUUUAUAAGAGUUAGGAAUAUGUAGGGUCGAAAUAACUUUGUCCCGAGCAAACUAGAAAAAGUCCCGCCUCCAGCGUCUAGGGCAGCGCCUCGUGCUGACCCUGCCGCUGAAACCUAUUAGCUUUUCACGCUCAAAUCUUGGUUUCGAGGUACGUUUUCCUUCUUUUGUUAUUUGCUUUGCUUUGUAUAUAUUUGUCUUCCAAUUGGGGGAACAAACACCAAAGGGUGCACCCUUUGUCUCCUUCUAUAUUUUUCUUUUUUUUUUAUUUCGUAUUUUAUUCAAUUUUAUUCCAAAUCUUUUAAUCCUCAUACCACUUUAUUCCUACACAGUUAAAAUAUAAUAUUAAGCAUAAAAUAAUAUAAUUAAUACUCAAAAGAUAAUUAAAAGAACUAGAAUGUGAGGCAAUAAUAGUUAAAUAUAUGCAUUUUUUAGCCGAACAUCAUAACACUAAUGAUCAAGAAGCAUCAACUACUGAAAAGAAUUUCAUAAUAGUAAUUUCAAACCUCCACAGCGGUCUUGACCCGGAUCCUGCGUGCAAUGGCAAAGCCAGAAACUUCAUGAAAAAUGUUCAAAAUUUAACAUAUACAUAUAAAAAUAUUUUUUGGUCUACAUACACAGUAUAACUUUCUGUAUAUAAAAUAUAAUUUUUCGCUGAAGGGUGUUCGGCUGACCACCCUUCAAUGUAUAUGGCUACGUCACUGCCUGCGUGAGAGCAGAAUAUUUUGUGUACCGGGCUGCUUUUUUUACACACUAAAGUGCUACGAUUUUUAGUAAGUAGAGCAGAGUUUUGUACUCUCUUCAGAAGUUCAAUUGAUUCCCUUUGGAGUAGUUUCAAUGAUUAAUCUAAGUUGCCUCUUUCACGUGAAGAUCAAAAGGAUGCAAAGUGUAUAAUUUUUAGGCAUGUGCACUCCUAUGUAGUAUAAACCUAUCAAUAAUUUUUUUGUAUUAUAUUAUUUAAGUUGGAAGAUACAUAAUAAAAAACUUGAUAGAUCAAAAUGUUCAUGUAAACAAAAGUAAUUGACGAAAUUCGUAAGGAUGAAAUUUAAAGGAUUUGACGGAAAGGCACUACUAAGAGCAUGAAAACCUUACCGGGUUUAGACGUAAUAAGGAAUGAUAUAGUAAGAGCAUGGGAGUGUGUGCGCGCCUUUAGAACAAGCAUGAAAUUAUAUCUUAGAAUUUUAGUGGGGUAGGUUUUUUUUAAAUUAUUAUUAAGUUAAUGAUGUUGGGCAUAUUUCUAUAAAUUUUAAUGUUACUUUCCUAUGUUUUAAACGUUUUUUGAUACUAUUUGGUGUUAAAAAUGCCCAAUAUGUGUUAAUUAUUGGCUUUAUAACUAAUUAAGUUCCGUGUGAUGAUUUAGGAUGUUUGGAGUGAAAAAAUAUGAAGAAAAAAUAUUCCCGCUAUAUGAAAAGAGGGUGGAUGUGUCGCAUCCAACCUUGAAAAAAAGGCAGCGCAGUGCUACUUGGAAAAAAGGCAGCGCAUCCUUAGCAGUGAAGUUAGAAGAAGGCGUCUACCUUAGCAUCUGCACUUGGGCGCAGCAAAGUUGAGGGGACAUAGGGUGGACGUGAAGCAUCCACCCCAGCAUCCGAUGCCGAUAAGUUCAAGUUGAGGCAGACGCGAAGCAUCUAACUUAGCAUCAAUCCCUGAAGCUGAUUCGAAAAAGAAAAAGGAAAACUUUGGCCCAUGACUUUUGUACGCAAUAUAUAAGUUAAAAAUGCCCCUUUUAGGUCAUCUAACACACUGGGAAACGGAGAAAAGCCAUCACAGAAUUUGGGACCCGUAGAAUUCGUCUUGAGUUCUUUUUUUCCCCUUCUUUUAUUGACUUUUAUGUGUUCUUGAGAAUUAUUUGAGAUUGCUACCAUGACUAUGCAUGGCUAAACUCGGUAAUUCUGGGUUUAUCGUUUCACAUGAAUAUUAAUAUUCGAAUAUUGAUUUGACGAUUUAAUUUGUCAUAUUAGGUUGUUUAUUCAUAUCCUGAGUUUAAUUAUUUUACUGCCAAGCUAACAGUGAAAUACUAUGUCUGAAUCUUAAGUUGAACUUGAAAGAGGUAAUUCUUGAUUGCAAUAGGAUUGAAUAGAGCGCAAUGUUGAACCUAGUCAUUGGGGAAUUGAUUUGCGAAUACGGAUAGAAAUAUAUCUAUUUGUCGUGCUUAGCCAAUUGUACAAGAGAUUGUCAAUGCGUUAUUUUUAUCUCUAAUGUCAUAGGAACAUAGGGUUUAGAAUAAAUUUAAUAGAUGAGUAGAAGUUGUCAAAUUUCUACGAGUAUUAUUGUCCUUGCAGAUUAAUAACCCGGAUAAAUUAAUAAGUCGAGUUGAUUGAAGAAUUCAACAGGACUGUUAUCCAACCAUGAUCUUGGAAUAUUAUUUCUCAUUGAAUUCAACUCUUCGUGAUAAGUGUGCUAGUUAAUUAGUUUUUCUUUUUAUUAAUAUUAUCAUCAGUAGAAUUAAUUAAACAGAAAUUAUCUUGAACUUAUUUUUAACUCGAUAAAUUAGAAAUUGCUUGAUUUAGUUGAUAAUUGACCAUAAGUUCUCAUGGGAACGAUACUCUACUCACACUUUAUUACUUGAUUGACCGUGUAUACUUGUGUGUGCGAUUUAGGCCAACAAGUUUUUGGCGUCGUUGCCGGGGACUUCGAAAUUAAUUGUUUUACUAAAUUAAGCUUUUACUACUCAUCGAGUUAUGUUUUUAAUCUUCUUGUGUUAGAAGCCAGGAUAGACUACAGGAUUUUGACCCAGAACCUGAGAGAGCAUUUCGUAGAAGGUUGAGAGAAGCUCGAGAAGCAAAUAAUCUACAAGCACUCAUUCAACUUCCUGUUGAAAUGAGAGAUGAACACCCAUUGGUAGUAUAAGAGGUGGCCAUGCCUGGCAUUGUUAAUGUCACCUCUAGUAUCGUUAAGCCUAGGAUCAUUGGACAUUUCGAGCUUAAGCGGAGCAUGAUCCAGGUACUUCAUGCAAAUGGACAGUUCAUGGGACUGCCACACGAGGACCCGCAACAACAUAUUCUGAAUUUUUUGGAGAUUAGUGAUACUUAUAUCACUAACGGGGUCACAUCUGAUUAUGUCAGGCUCACAUUGUUCCCUUUUUCUCUGUUGGGAGAGGACAAGAGAUGGUUGAAAUCUAAGCCAGAUAACUCUAUUGCUUCGUGGAAUAAUUUGGCUCGCAAAUUCUUGUCUAGGUUAUUUCCUACUGGUAAAACCGCAAAGAUAAGAAGUGAGACAGUUGCAUUUAAAUAUAGAGAAGGUGAAUCACUAUAUGCAACCUGGGAGAGAUUCAAGGGGCUACUAAGAGACUGGCUACACCAUAACCAAACCAACGAGGUACUGGCUCACACUUUUAUCAAAGGUCUUCACCCUGGAACAAAAAUAGUGGUAGACGCAGCAGCUGGUGGUCAAGUAUUAGAAAAGAACUUUGAUGAGAUUUAUGCGCUGCUGAACAAGUUUUCCAAAAGCAACCCAUAUUCACAAGGGGAAGCAGGUAGACACGCAUCCCUUAAAGAUACAGGGGUACUUGAAUUGGAUGUUGUUCAGCAUUAUCUGCACAAGUAGCAUCUUUAGCAAAUCAAAUCAGCAAGAUGAAUGUGGUUCAGAACCAACAACAGUUCCAACCAAUGCAAAAGGUCAACCAGUACAACAAGUGCAGGUGUUCUGUGAAGUCUGUGGCGAGGUCCAUACCAGUGAUGUCUGUUCAGUGAAUCCAGAAUCUGUUUACAUUGUGGGGAAUGCAAUAGAGGACAAAUAAAUCAAAAUCAAUUUGGUAAUACUUAUAAUCCUAAUUGGAGAAACCACCCAAAUUUCUCAUGGGGUGAAAAUCAAGGAGCUUAGACCACAAGGCCAGCACCAGAAUUUUUAGCCGCCGCAGGUUGUUCAAUCAGUAAAUCCUAUGGGUAAUAUUAAGGAGAUGCUAAGGAAAAUUAUGGCUGGUAAUCAAAAUCAAUCUACUGCUAUUCAAAAUCUAGAGCGACAAAUGGGGCAACUUGCCAGUGCUCAAAAUAAUCGGCCAGCUGGGGCUCUUCCUAAAGAUACUGAGCCUAACCCUAAAGCUCAAUUCAAUGCAUUUACCUUGAGAAAUGGAAGAGUAUUAGAAGAAGUUCCAAAUAAAAAGAAGUAUACAACUAGUCUUGAAGAAGAAUUAGUUUCCAAGACAGUUGAGGAGAAUGAGAAAGAGAGUGAAAGAUUAGAGACAGUAUUUGUGACAAGGCCACUUUCUCCGUUUUCACAAAGACUAUAGAAGCAAAAAGAUGAUGCUAAGUAUAAGAAAUUCUUAGAUAUUCUAAGCCAAGUGCAUGUGAAUUUGCAUUUGGUAGAAAUUUUGUAGGAAGUGCCUAAGUAUGCAAAGUAUCUAAAAGAUAUUGUGACAAACAAGCGAAGACAUACUGAGUUUGAAACAGUUGCACUUACGGAAGAGUGCAGUGCUAGAGUUGGAGUAAACUUCCUCCUAAGUUGAAGGAUCCUAGGAGUUUCACAAUUCCGCUGUCUAUUGGGAAAUAAGAAGUUGAUACAUCCCCCUAUUAUUUAGGGGCUAGUAUAAAUUUGAUGCCAUCAUCUUUGUUCAAGCAACUAGGAUUGGGGGCCCUUAGACUUACUACAAUCACCUUACAGUUGGCAGAUAUGUCACUAGUGAUGCUGGAAGGAAUUAUUGAGGAUGUGCUAGUGCGAGUCGGAAAGUUUAUUAUUCCUGUUGCUUUUUAUUAUUCUUGAUUAUGAGGCAGAUAAGGAAGUGCUCACUAUUUUGGGGUGGCCGUUCUUAGCUACUGAUGGAGCGAUUAUUGAUGUGAGGGAAGGAAAGUUGAAGAUGAGAGUUGAUGAUGAGGAAAUUAUUUUUAAUGUGUAUAAGGCACUUAAGCUCCCUACGCAUUAUGAGGACUUGUGCUUGAUUACUGUGGUGGAAUCGAAGGGGAUAAAGAAGAGUCCUUAUGUGAAUUGUAGUGAUCCAGGUGGGAAAACUGAGUUAAAGGAGGUAGUGUUGCAAGCUGAGUGUGUAAAGAUGAUUGAGAAAAGAGCCAGAGAUGAAAGAGGAGAUCUUACUAGAGCGUGCAAAAAGGCUAGACUUCAUGGGAGGAAGAAGAAGCGAAAGUGCCCAGCCUGAGCAGAGUAGUAGAGUCGCGCCACAACGUUAAAUCAUGCGCUUGUUGGGAGGCAACCCAUCAUGUUUUUUAUUUUUAUUAUUUUUAUUUUUAUAGUGUCACAUUUUAUUUUAUUUUUGUUUGUAGAUUAGGGGAAGUCUAAAUACCCGAAGUUGAAGAUGGGGAGUGUUCUCACCCAAGUCACACCUCAAAUUGGGGUUGUGAAGCGGUUGAUUGCAAUAAUAAUACCCAACCAGGAGUCGGGAUCGAAUCCACAUGGAGCGUAGAUAGGAUUAGUGGUAUGUAUUUGGUCUAAGCACGUGAAUUGUCUAAGUUGCACUUCCCCAAACUUUAUUUUGAUUUUACUUCUAAAAUUAUACUAAGGAUUGCAAUCGAAAAAUAUGAAACUAGAGAAGAAUGUUUUUGUUGUUGUUUUUCAAAUAUGUAAAAGGUCUAGGGUUGUGACCUCCACCUAGGUGUUUGCCUAAUGGGUUGUGGGCUUUAGAGCGAGUUUCGUUGGUCGAGGUGUAUUAUAGCAAUCAACACUCAAAUACCCAUCAAUACCUCUCGGUAAGAGAUUGGUUUUGCUCAAGUCCAAAUGUGUAUUGAACUAAACAGUUGGCAAAUUGCUCAAGUCGGAUUUUACUAUCUCUAGGUUUAACCCUUUUAUUUGGGACUAUCAAUCUCUUGAUUUCAUCCCAAACUCUUGUUAGCCAAGUUUUUCUAGACUAAGUCUCUCUUUCUCAAGUAGAGACCAAGUCAAAUAGGCUUGAACCAAUAUUUUCAACCAUUAAUUCUACAAUUAUAGCAAGAACUAGGCUAAAUAAUACGUACCCAACCAUAAACAAGCCCUAAAUCAACCACCCAUUAGGUUCCCACACUAGGGUUGGAUCACUACCCUAGCUAGAAAUUUAGCUACUCAUAGUGGGUAAUGAAGAAAAUAAAGAAGAAAGGAUGAUAGAACUCAUAUUGAAAAAUAAAUAGAUAAAAAUCCAAUAUAAAAUCAACAAGAUAAGCUACAGUUUCCUAAAAGGGUAAAGAAAAACGGCUGCAGACUUUCUGGUAUUCAAAACUUAACCUAAUUUCGUCAAAAAAGUCUAUUUAUACACAGCUGAAAUUUUCUGACAAAAUUGCCCUUUCGGAGGUUCUGCAGCCGCACAAUUCUGUGUGCGGUCCACUUUUUGCUUCUGCUCUUGACAGGAGUUGGAUUUGUGGCCGUACAAUUCUACAUUGCGGCCGCGUCUCUUGAGUUCUGCGGACCGCACAAUUCUGGGUGCGGCCGCACAUUUAAUUUUUGUGGCCGCACAAUUAUAGUGCGGUCCGCAGUUCUUGCUGGGCUUAGAGUUGAAACUCUCUGAACCUUAACUUUUGCGGCUGCACAAUUAUUGUUCGGUCCGCAUCUUACAUUGCAGCUUUGUUAAUUCUUCUUCAUGUUCUGCGGCCGCACACAGAAAUCUGCGGUCCGCACUUUAGCUUUUUGUGCUUGAUUUUUGUCCUUGUUCAAAAGCACUCCUCUUGAGUUUAAUUUCAUAGUAAUGGCUCAUUUUUCAAUACUCCUACAAGUAAGAAUAUUUUAUCAGUUUUUGGGAAUACCUUUAAAUACUUUUGAACUAAAACAAAAUCCAAAAUGCGCAAAUAAGUAGUCAAAAUCCCCACUUAUCAACUCCCCCAAACUUAAGCUUUUGCUUGUCCUCGAGCAAAUAAGGUAAUUUCUACCUCCACAAGAAAAGAGCUAUCCAGCUAAUCUAAAGUGAAGAAAAUACACAUCAAUUGGGACCAACAAUUACCUACAACACUUAUGAAUUAUCAACAAGGCAAUGAUUUGAAGUUUUAAGCACAAAUAGUUCUAAUGAGACACUUUAGCAUCAAGAGUUGACUUACUCAUCAAGGAAGUUCGCUCUUUCAUGUAGGUUACUGUGGAUCCCAAACUCCUCCUCCUCUACUCUCCGUUAGCUUAUCUCACUUAAGAAUGAAGCACUCAAUUCAAGGAUUUGUGAAAAGUUUGCGCAUCUCUCUCAAAAGAAUGUCACAAGUACAGAUCUAAGUACCAUAUGCUAGCCCCUCAUGUAAAUCACCACUAAUGUAAGAUCACUCGGCUUGAAAUCACGUAGGGAUUUUUCGGCAUGUAAUGAAGACUUUUGGACUAAGGUGGGAAAUGUUAGUGUAGAAGGGUUCAUCUUUCCUUAAGCACUCCAUUUUCUCUUUUUGGCUCAUGCUUUGCUGACUCUUUGAGUCAUUUUCUUUUUCCUUAGGGGAACUAGAGAGACUUGACAUCACUCUUUAUUGGUCAUGAUAUUCAUUUUUUCCUUCUUUGUUUCCUCCAUGCUUUGCACUUUUGCUUUUCUUUGAAUCCCUUCAACUCUUCAAUUUAUUCACUUUCUUUUUGUAUUUUUCUUUUGUUCUUUCUUUCUUUUUCUUUGCCUUGCCUUUUCUUUAUUUCUUAUCUCUUUUUGUACCUUGAUACUACUUUCAAACUCCUCGUCUCUCCCCCAAACUUAUAUUUUCGCCAAUUGCUUCUCAUGAGUGUUAAAGAAAGCUCGGGUGCCAGGAGAGGGUCACUACAAAACAGGUAAAGGCUUGUAACAUGAUUAUCAAAUGAGAAAGGCUUUAGGCUCAAAAGGGUUGACUAGGGAUAACAUUAUUGGUGGGCCAUGGACUGAGAGUGGUUGGGUACCCUGCCUCGGCCUCGGGAGGGUUCACCCCUCCCUUUGGAAGUAUCACCACGUCCACUUGAUCUAACCAUUUUCUGCAAUACAUAGCAACAUGAGUAAGUUAAAGUUCAAACACAGACUAUAAAAAAGUUGUAGACAAAACAAUGGGCAAGAGGGGGAAGUGUGGUCCGCACAAUUCUGAGUGCGGCCGCAGAAUGGCUUGUGCGGACCGCACAAUUUUGGAAGUGCAGUCGCACAAUUGAAGUGCGGUCAGCACAAUUCUGAGUGCGGCCGCACAAUUCAAGGCCCAGAAAUACCAAUUCUCUAAAGUUUUGAUCUGCGGCCACACACAUUUUUCUGCGACCGCAGUUUAGUUUCUGCGGACCGCAUAAUUUUGAGUGCGGUCCUCAUAAUCAAUGCACAGACUUUUCCCUCACCUAAAAUCUGCUUACCGCACAAUUUCUUGUGCGGCCGCACAAUUCAAAAUUGGACGGCACUGAACUUAGAUUGGUUUUUCAAUUUUUGCACAAUUUAGACAUGGUAUUGGCAAAUUAAACAUGAUACACGGUUUACCCAUCCCCCAAUUAACAAGUAUGAAGUUACCCAUACUAUUUUAAGCUUACAUAAUGAUUAAUUUUGACAUUUAGGCCGAAAACUAACUAAACAAAUAAAGAACAAAAAUUAAGAAAUUUGAAAGAAUCUAAACAUGAGUUGAACAUACCAGUAAUGAAUGAUGUAGGGAAGAAUCUAGGGUGAUGAAGUGAAUGCGAGAUGAUUGAAUCAAUUUGAGUGCACUGUGCUUGAUUUGGUGUAAACUAGUCAGAGUGUGUAAAGUUUUGAACAUCGGUAGAGGGUCACUAUUUAUAGUUGGCCGAUUUUAGGGCAAGGAUUAGCAGCUGAGUGCGGCCGCACAAUUUUGUGUGCGGUCUGCACUCUUUACCUGUCACUUACUUCACUCUUUGUCGAUCUGCGGUCCGCACAAUUCUGAGUGCGGCCAUAGAUUUUUGUGCGGCCGCAGAUCGGCCAUUUCUUUAUAAUUCAAACAUCAGAGAGUUUGCAAUUUUGUGAUCUCUAGUUGUGCGGCCGCAGGCUCCUUUCUGUUGUGGCCAUCAAGAUUGUGCGGUCCGCACGUUUUUCCACACUUAGCAUUUUUCCUGAGCACAGUUCCUGCAAAGCACACUCAUUCCUGCAAUAUACUUCAAAACCAGUUAGCACAAAACAAGACCUAUCUAAAAAACAAGAAAAAUAAAAAGAAACAUGGGUUGCCUCCCAAGAAGCACCUGAUUUAACGUCGCGGCACGAUGCAGAUUACCAUCAAUUACUUGAAAUAAAUCAAUGCCAUGACGUGGCAAUCAUCAACGUUUCCCAAAUAAUGCUUCACCCAGUGACCAUUGACUCUAAACACUUCAUCAUUUUUAUUCUUCAAGUCUAAUGCACCAAAGGGUGUCACACUCACAACCUCAAACGGGCCACUCUAUUUAGACUUCAACUUUCCCAAAAACAUCCGUAACCGAGAAUUGAACAAUAACACAAGAUCACCUUCUUUGAACUCUUGUUCCUAAUGUACUUGUCAUGGAGGUACUUCAUCUUCUCCUUGUAUAAGGAAGAACUUGUAUAUGCAUGGUACCGAAAUUCAUCAAGCUCAUUCAAUUGUGCCACCUUAAGUUGGCGGUGACAUCUCACUCAAGAUUUAGCUUCUUCAAUGCCCACAUAGCCUUGUGCUCAAGUUCCACUAGAAGGUGAAAAGCUUUUCCGAACACCAACCGGUAUGGAGACAUCCCAAUCGGUGUUUUGUAAGCCGUCCUAUAAGCCCAUAAAGCAUCAUGAAGUUUCUUUGACAAUCCGUCUGGUUGGCUUGCACUGUCUUUGACAAAAUACUCUUGAUCUCCCGGUUGGAGACUUCCAUUUGUCCGCUUGCUUGAGUGUGAUAGGGGUUCGUGACUUUGUGAGUGACACCAUACUUGGUGAGUAAGGUAUCAAAAGCUUUGUUGCAAAAGUGCGAUCCCCCAUCACUUAUAAUAGCCCUUGGAGUGCCAAAUCUUGUAAACAUGUUCUUUUUCAAAAAUGCCACCACACUUCGAGCUUCGUUGUUGGGUAGAGCAACGGCCUCAACCCACUUUGACACAUACUUCACAGCUACCAAAAUAUAGGUCUUCCCAUAAGAGCUUACGAACGGUCCCAUGAAAUCAAUGUCCCACACAUCAAAAAUGUCAAUUUCCAAGAUGGUGGUGAGGGGCAUCUCAUUUUUCUUAGAAAUCCCACCGGCCCUUUGACAUUCAUCACAAUGCUUGACUAGAUCACUUGCGUCCCUGUAGAGAGUAGGCCAAUAGAAUCCACAACUCAACACUUUCGCCGCCGUUAUCGCUCCACCAUGGUGACCAUCAUAUGAUGAAGCGUGUCAAGCACCAAGAAUUUCCACUUGUUCCUCCUCCAUCACACAUCUUUGAAUCACACCAUCGGUACAAAUUCGGAAGAGGUACGGUUCAUCCCAAUAGUAGUCAAGGCAAUCCCGUUUGAGUUUAUUCCUUUAGUUUGAAGAGAACUCAUUCGGUACAAUACCACUCACAAGAUAAUUUGCUAAGUCGGCGAACCAUGGCAUCUUGGUCAUUGAAAUGGCUAGAAGUUGCUCGUCAGGAAAGGAGUCAUUGAUUUCAAGGCUGUCAUGUGGCCUCCCCUCCUCCUCCAAGCGAGACAAGUAGUCCGCCACUUGGUUUUCACUGCCUUUGCGGUCUUGGAUUUUUAGAUCGAACUCUUGCAAUAAAAGCAUCCAUCUCAUUAACCGCGCCUUUGAAUAUUUCUUGCUCAUUAGGUACCGAAGCGCCGCAUGAUCCGUGUGGACAAUUACCUUUGUACCCAUCAAGUACGGGCGGAACUUCUCCAUAGCAAAAAUAAUAGAAAGGAGCUCUUUUUCGGUCACCGUGUAAUUGACUUGGGCAUCGUUUAUGGUCUUACUAGCAUAGUAGACCGGAUGGAAGAUUUUGUUGAUACAUUGCCCCAAAACUGCUCCGACCGCCACAUCACUUGCAUCAUACAUGAGCUCAGAAGGCAAGCUCCAAUCCGAUGCAGUGAUAAUAGGAGUAGUUGUCAAUUUGGACUUGAUCAAUUCAAAUGCCUUCAUGCAAUCCUCGUUGAAAUUGAAUUUGGCAUCUUUCUCCAAUAGCUUACACAAGGGGUUCACCACAUUGGAAAAAUCCUUGAUGAAACGGCGGUAGAACCCCACAUGACCCAAGAAACUCCUCACUCCCUCCAUGGAUGUUGGGGGUGGAAGUUUAGAAAUCACCUCUAUUUUGGCCUUGUCGACCUCAAUACCAUUCUUUGAAAUUUUGUGGCCAAGGACAAUGCCUUCCUCGACCAUGAAGUGACAUUUCUCCCAAUUGAGUACUAAGUUCGUCUCUUCACAUCUUGCCAAGACCUUAUCCAAAUUUUUCAAGCAAUCAUCAAAAGAAUUCUCGACCACUAAAAAGUCAUCCAUGAAGACCUCAAGGAAAUCCUCCACCAUGUCCAUGAAUAUAGCCAUUAUACACCAUUGAAAAGUCACCGGUGCAUUGCAUAAACUAAAUGGCAUCUGCGAGAAUGCAAAAGUACCAUAGGGACAUAUGAAAGUAGUCUUCUCUUGAUCCUCCGGAGCAAUAAGAAUUUGAUUGUAGCCGGAAUACCCAUCAAGGAAACAAUAGAAAGCAUGACCAGCCAACCUAUCAAGCAUUUAAUCAAGGAAGGGAAGUGAGAAAUGAUCCUUCCUUGUGACUUUAUUGAGCUUGCGAUAGUCCAUACACACUCUCCACCCGGUCACCGUUCUUGUCAUUGGUGACCACCAUCAUGCCCCCUUUAUUUGGGACAUAUUGCACCGGAGAGGUCUACGAACUAUUGGAAAUGGGGUAAACAACCCCGGCAUCCAACCACUUAUGAUCUCCUUUUUGACCACCUCUUGCAUUGCUUCAUUUAGUCUUCUUUGAUGUUCAACGGAGGGUUUGGAAUCCUCCUCCAAAAUAAUCUUGUGCAUGCAAAAGGCAGGGCUUAUACCCCGAAUACCCGCCAAUGUCCAUCAUAUAGCUUUCUUCCUCUUUUGGAGCACCGCCAAAGUAGAAUCUACCUGCAUGUUAGUCAAGCAAGAGGAAAGAAUAACUGGUAAAGUAGAACAUGGGCCAAGAAACUCAUACCUGAGAUGUGGAGGUAAUGGCUUUAACUCCAAAGUGGGAGGCUCCUCGAUUGAGGGCUUUAUUGGAGGAGUCUUCCGUUCUCAAGAUCUAAGGACAAUGUUUAAUGGUUCAUAAGUGUACGACCCCAUUCCUUGCAAUGCAUUUACACAUUCCACAUAGCCUUCCUUCUCAUCAUCAUCAUGAUUAAGCAAUACGGCUUCCAAAGUAUCAUCAACAUUCAUCACGGCACUAGCAUCAUCAACAAUCACUUCGGUCACUAAGUCCAUAAACGAACAAACUUCAUUGCUAUUCGGUUGCCUCAUAGAUUUGCACACAUGGAAAACCACCUUUUCAUCGCCCACCCGAAAGGUGAGCUCACUGGCUUCCACAUCAAAAAGAGCCUUCCCUGUAGCAAGGAAAGUUCUACCCAAGAUAAUAGGCACCUCAUAGUCCACUUCAAAAUCAAGAAUCACAAAGUUUACCGGAAGGAUAAACUUAUCAACACGAACCAACACAUCAUCAAUAAUACCCAAUGGUCUCUUCAUAGUACGAUCCGCCAUUUGUAGCCUUAUAGAUGUGGGUCUUGGUUGCCCAAUUCCCAAAGUUUUGAAAACCGAAUGGGGAAUCAAAUUGAUACUUGCCCAAAGAUCACAAAGAGCUUUUGCAAAGUCGGUGCUUCCAAUAGUACAAGGGAUUGUGAAAGCGCCGAGAUCUUCCAAUUUAGGAGCCAUUGAGUGCACAAUUACACUCACUUGAUGUGUCAUCUUUAUAGUCUCACAAUUCAUCAACCUCUUCUUUGUCACCAAAUCCUUCAUGAACUUUGCAUUACCGGGCAUUUGCUCCAAAGCCUCAACUAAUGACACAUUAAUAGAUAGGAUUUUCAUCAUGUCAAUGAACUUUUUGAAUUGGUUCUCGCCAUUUUGCUUGGCAAGCCUUUGAGGGUAUGGAGGAGAAGGCCUUAGCAUUGGUGCCUUAGCCUUUGGCACUAUGGUUCCGGUAUGUCUAAAAUGUGCUCCCUAGACGGGUUCACUUCCUCUUGAGUCUCCUCCACAUUGUCAUCAAUAUCAAUUCUUCCUUCAUCAUUGGCUUGCACCAAAUUAUUUGGAAUCUCAUCUUCUUUAAUCAUUUGUUCAUCAUCCACAAUUUUUCUUUGACUUGAGGUGGUUGCUUCCCCACAUUUUCCACUCCUUGUAUUCAUGGCCAUGGCAUGUCCCGGGUUGUUCCCACCCUUUGGGUUCACCAUCGUGUCACUUGGCAGUGCCCCCUUAGGACGAGUGUUCAAAGCUUGCGAUAUUUUCCCUAAUUGAACUUUCAAAUUGCGAAUUGAAGUGUUGUGAGAGGCUAGUUAAGCAUCGGAGUCGGCAUUCUUCUCCAUCAUUUGUUUGAACAUGUUCUCAAUUCGCCCCAUCUCAUUGUUGGAAGAGCUAGGACCAUGGGAAGGAUAAGGAGGCGGGUUGCUUGGUUGUUGAUACAUCAGGGGCCUUUGAAAAACCCGACCCAUGAUUCCCUUGGUUAUUGUUCCAUCCCCCUUGGUUAUUUCCUCCCCAAUAUCCUUGACUAUUGCCACUCCAAUUGCUUUGGUUAUUUUGAUCAUUCCAAUUUCCUUGAUUAUUCCAAUUCCCUUGGUUAUUUUGAUUGUUUCAAUUCCCUUGAUUACCAUGAGGUCGCCAUUGUUGUUGAUUAGGUCCUUGAGAGUUGUUUAUUUGCCCUUAGAAGUUAUUCACAUAUUGUACUUCCUCCUCUUGGUCAUUGCAAGAUUCAUCUUGAUCAAACCUACUAUCUUCUUGCACAUAAUGUUUCGUAUGGUUUUGCACUUUAGGACCCUUUUGCCUUCUCAUGUUUACCAUCAUAUUAACUCCCUCUAUUGCAUUUACUUUCUAAGGACCUUGCACUUGUUGAAGUUGGGCUUUGGGCAAUUGAUUCAUUAUAGUGGUCAACUCGGCAAUUGCUUGCCCAUGAUCAUGCAAUAUUUUAUGUAGGUGAAUCACAUUUGGAUCACCUUGAGGAACAUUUUCUCUACUUUGUCAUGCCGAUGAAGUAUCCGCCAUUUCAUCUAAGAUCUCACAAGCUUCGGCAUAUGGCGUUGUCAUGAAAUUUCCACCGGCAAGUUGGUUGACCACGCAUUGAUUGGUAGUAUUGAUCCCCCUGUAGAAAGUUUGUUAAAUCAUAGCCUCUGUCAUGUCAUUGUUUGGGCAUUCUUUCACUAUAGUUUGGUACCUUUCCCAUAUUUUAUGCAAGAAUCUAGUCUCUAAGAGUAGCCAUAUGUCCGGGAGAAUAGAACUUGGAAAUNNNNNNNNNNNNNNNNNNNNNNNNNNNNNNNNNNNNNNNNNNNNNNNNNNNNNNNNNNNNNNNNNNNNNNNNNNNNNNNNNNNNNNNNNNNNNNNNNNNNNNNNNNNNNNNNNNNNNNNNNNNNNNNNNNNNNNNNNNNNNNNNNNNNNNNNNNNNNNNNNNNNNNNNNNNNNNNNNNNNNNNNNNNNNNNNNNNNNNNNNNNNNNNNNNNNNNNNNNNGCCCUUGGAAGUUAUUCACAUAUUGUACUUCCUCCUCUUAGUUAUUGUUCCAUCCCCCUUGGUUGUUUUCUCCCCAAUAUCCUUGACUAUUGCCACCCCAAUUGCUUUGGUCGUUUUGACCAUUCCAAUUUCCUUGAUUAUUUUGAUUGUUCCAAUUACCUUGGUUGUUACCACCACUCCAAUUACCUUGGUUGUUUUAGCUCCAAUUCCCUUGAUUACCUUGAGAUCGCCAUUGUUGUUGAUUCGGGCCUUGAGAGUUGUUUCUUUGCCCUUGGAAGUUAUUCACAUAUUGUACUUCCUCCUCUUGUUCAUUGUAAGAUUCAUCUUGGUCAAACCCACUAUCUUCUUGCACAUAUUGUUCCGCACGAUUUUGCACUUGUUGACCCUUUUUCCUUCUCUUGUUUACCAUCAUAUUGACACCCUUCAUUGCAUUUACUUUCUUAGGACCUUGAACUUGUUGGAGUUGAGCUUUGGCUAAUUGAUUCAUUGUAGUGGUCAACUCAAAAAUUGCUUGCCCAUGAUCAUGCAAUUCUUUAUGUAGGUGAAUCACAUUUGGAUCACCUUGAGGAAUAUUUUCUCUACUUUGCCAUGCCGAUGAAGUAUCCGCUAUUUCAUCUAAGAUCUCACAAGCUUCGGCAUAUGGUGUUGUCAUGAAAUUUCCACCGACAAGUUGGUUGACCACGCAUUGAUUGGUAGUAUUGAUCCCCCUAUAGAAAGUUUGUUGAAUCAUAGCCUUUGUCAUGUCAUUGUUCGGUCACUCUUUCACCAUAGUUCGGUACCUCUCUCAUAUCUCAUACAAAGGCUUAUUGGGUUUUUGUUUGAAUGCUAGAAUCUCGUCUCUAACAGUAUCCAUAUACCCGGGAGAUGGAUGGAAUGGUUUGGCAGCCUUUCUAACCAAUCCAAGGCUUUCCCUCGUAAAGAGAAGGGAAAUAGCCUCAACCUUAGAGCAUCCUCGGAGACGUUGGUCUGUUUACUCCCCCCAACAAGUGUCCACAAACCCCUUCAAGUGUUUGUAUGCAUUUUGACUCGGAGCCCCGGUGAAGAAUUCCCAUUGCUCUAGCAAUGUGAGCAUGACAUUUGUGAUCUGGAAGUUGCCUGCCCUAAUGCGGGGCGGGACUAUGGCACUUACAUACCCUUCAUUCAGCAACACCCGGUGUGGAGACACUCUUGGUGGAGGUGGGGGUGGAACGAAAACGUUGUCUUGAGGCGGUCGGCCUUGUCUAUUUGCUUGAGGUUCAAGAGGAACCUCUUCAACUUGGUCAUCUUCCACGUCCACAUCCCCCAAAGGCAUGUUUCCGAGAGGAUCAUUGUUGUUGAGAGCCAUUGUUUCACCUAUAAUUAUUUCACCAAAAAGAUUAUUAACGCGGAAGGAAAAGAAGACAAUUCACACACAAAACCAAAUAUAUAGCUAAAUCCGUUUUUAUGCUCCCCGGCAACGGCGCCAAAAAUUGAUCUCGCCCAAGUCACACCUCAAAUUGGGGUUGUAAAGCGGUCAAUUGCAAUAAUAAUACCCAACUAGGAGUCGGGAUCGAAUCCAUAGGGAGCGUAGAUGGGAUAAGUGGUAUGUAUUUGGUCUAAGCACGUGAAUUAUCUAAGUUGCACUUACACAAACUUUGUUUUGAUUUUACUUCUAAAAUUACACUAAGGAUUGCAAUUGAAAAAUAUGAAACUAGAGAAGAAUGUUUUUGUUGUUGUUUUUCAAAUAUGUAAAAGGUCUAGGGUUGUGACUUCCACCUAGGUGUUUGCCUAAUGGGUUGUGGGCUUUAGAGCGAGUUUCGUUGGUCGGGGUGUAUUAUAGCAAUCAACACUGAAAUACCCACUCAAUACCUAUCGGUAAGAGAGUGGUUUUGCCCAAUUUGGCUUUUUCAAGUCCAAAUGGGUAUUGAACUAAACAGUUGAUAAAUUAUUCAAGACGGGUUUUACUAUCUCUAGGUUCAACCCUUUAAUUGGGACUAUCAAUCUCUUGAUUUCAUCCCAAACUCUUGUUAGCCAAGUUUUCCUAGACUAAGUCUCUCUUUCUCAAGUAGAGACCAAGUCAAAUAGGCUUGAACCAAUGUUUGCAACCAUUAAUUCUAAAAAUAUAGCAAGAACUAGGCUAAAUAAUACACACCGAACUAUAAACAAGCCCUAAAUAAAACACCCAUUAGGUUCCCACACUAGGGUUGGGUCACAACCCUAGCUAGAAAUUUAGUUACUCAUAGUGGGUAAUAAAGAAAAUAAAGAAGAAAAGAUGAUAAAAAUCAUAUUGAAAAAUAAAUACAUGAAAAUCCAAUGUAAAAUCAACAAGAUAAGCUAAAGUUUCCUAAAAGAGUAAAGAAAAAUGGCUACAGACUUUAUAAUAUUCAAAACUUAACCUAAUUUCGUCAAAAGGUCUAUUUAUACACAUCUGAAAUUUUCUGACAAAAUUGCCCUUUCAGAGGUUCUGCGGCCGCAUAAUUUUGUCUGCGGUCCGUGAUAAGUAGGGAUUUUGACCACUUAUUUGAACUCUUUUACAUUCGUUUUAGCUCAAAAAUGCUUAAAGGUAUUCCCGAGAACUAAUGAAAUGUGCUUUCUUGCAGAAAUAUUGGGAAAUGAGCUAAAGAGAUGAAAAUCAACUCAAGAAGGAGUAAAAUUGGACAAGGACCAAAACAAAGCAUAAAAGAGCAAAGUGCGGACCACACAAUACUGUGUGCGGCCGCAGACUAUAAAGAACCACUGACAAAUUCCCUUCGCAAAGUGCAGACCGCACAAUUAUUGUGCCGCCGCAGAAGACGAGUUUCAGAGAGAUGGUGUUUUGGGUCCCUGAAGAAGUGCGGACCGCACUAUUAUUAUGCGGCCGCAGAAUGCAAAGGUACGGCCACACUCAUAAAUGUACGGUCCGCAGAAAUCUCCCAUGUCCAGCUCAAGUCCAAGAGUGUGGCCGCACUCAGAAAUGUACGGUCCGCAAAAUCUGAAGAAGUGCGGUCGCACCCCAGAAUUGUGCGGCCGCAGAAGUCCAUCCUGUCAAGCUAGCUUCAAAGUGCGGACCGCACACAUAAUUGUGCGGCCGCACAACCUUCGCAGUGGCAAUUUUGUCCGAUAAUUUCAGUUGGGUAUAAAUAGAUCUUUUUGUCAAAUUUAGGUUAAGUUUGAAAGCCUGAAAGUAGAUAGCCAUUUUUUCCUUACUGUUUUGGGUAACUUUGUAAUAGUUUAUCAUUUUAACAUUAGAUUUUCUUUCCUUAAUCAUCUAUUAUGAGUUUAAUCUUAGUUUCUUCUUUAGUUCCUUCAAUGUUUCCUAUGAGUAGCUAAAUUCUUUUCUAGUGUUGUGACCCAACCCUAGUGUGGGUGCCUAAUGGGUGUUUAAUCUGGGGCUUGUUUGUGAUUGGGUGUAUGAUAUUUAGCCUAGUUAUUGCUUGAAUUUAAGAAUUAAUGGUUGCAAAGAUUGAUUCAGGCCUAAUUGACCUAGUCUCUACUUGAGAAAGAGAGACUAAGUCUAGGAAAACUUGGCUAACAAGGAAUUGGGGUGAACUCAAGAAAUUGAUAGCCUCAAUUAAAGGGUCAAAUCUAGAGAUAGUAAGACCCGACUUGAGCAUCUAUCAUUAGUUUUGUGAAUUGCCCAUUUGGAUUUGUGAAAGCCAAAUUAGGCAAAACCACUCAAACUACAGAGAGGUAUAGAGUGUGUAAUUGCGUGUGAUUGCUAUAUUACACCCCGAUCAAUCAAACCUGCCCUAAAACCCACAAUUCAUUAGGUAACCACCUAGGUGGAAGUCGCGACCCUAGAUCUUUUAUCAACUUGAAAAGCAACAAUACCAAAAAUAUCGUUCCUUAGCUUUUCAUUUACAAACAAUAGUAUACUUUUUAGAAGUAGGAAGAAAUAACCAAUUAUGUGGAAGUGCAAUUUGGGCACGUCAUACACCUAGUCUAGAUAUAUACCUAAUCCAAUAUAAUCUCUUUGUGGAAUUGACCCCGACUCACGUUGGGUAAUUAUAAUUGUAUCGACCGCUUUACAAUUCCAAUCAGUGGUGUGAAUUUGGGCGACAUCAAUUUUUGGCGCCGUUGCCAGUGAGCUAAACACGGAUUUAGCUAUAUAUUUGGUUUUGUGUGUGACUUGUCUUCUUUUCCUUCCGGGUUACUAACUAUUUUGUGAAUUGAUUAUAGGUACAAAAAUGGUUCUCAACAAUGAUCCUCUCGGAAAUUUGCCUUUGGGGGAGGAAGUGGACGAUGACCAAGGUGAUGAGGUUGCUCUUGAACCUCAAGCAACUAGGUGAGGCCGACUGCCUCAUGACAAUAUUCUCGUCCCUCCCCCACCUCCACCAAGAGCAGCUCCACACCGGGUGUUACCAAAUGAAGGAUACGCAAGUGCCAUAGUCUCGCCCCGCAUUAGGGCGAGAAACUUCCAAAUCACCAAUGUUAUGCUCACAUUGCUAGAGCAACAGGGAUUCUUCACCGGGGCUCUGAGUCAAAAUGCAUACAAACACUUGAACGGGUUUGUGGACACUUGAUGGGGGAGUAAAUAUACCAACGUCUCUGAGGAUGCUCUAAGGUUGAGGCUAUUUCCCUUCUCUCUAUGGGGAAAAGCCUUGGAUUGGUUAGAAAUAUUGUCAAACCAUUCCAUCCAUACAUGGGAUGAAUUGGCGGAAAAAUUCAUUGCCAAGUUCUUUUCUCCCGGGCAUAUGGCUACUCUUUGGGAUGAGAUUCUAGCAUUCAAGCAAGAACCCAAUGAGCCUUUCACGAGAUUUGGGAGAGGUACCGUACCAUGGUAAAAGAGUGCCUGAAUAAUGAUAUGACUGAGGCAAUGAUUCAACAAACCUUCUACCGGGGGAUCAACACUACCAAUCAAUGCGUGAUCAACCAACUUGUCGGUGGAAAUUUCAUGACAACGCCAUAUGCUGAAGCUUGUGAAAUCUUGGAUGAAAUGGCAGAUACUUCAUCGACAUGGCAAAGUAGAGCUAAUGUUCCUCAAGGUGAUCCAAAUGUGAUUCACCUACAUAAGGAAUUGCAUGAUCAUGGGCAAGCAAUUUCCGGGUUGACGACCAUAAUGAAUCAAUUAGCCAAAGCUCAACUUCAACAAGUUCAAGGUCCUAAGAAAGUGAAUACGUGAGUAUAAUCGUGAACAAAAGAAGGCAAAAUGGUCAACAAGUACAAAACCGUGUGGAACACUUUGUGCAAGAUGAUAGUGGGUUUGACCAAGAUGAAUCAUACAAUGAGCAAGUGGAAGAAGUGCAAUAUGUGAACAACUAUCAAGGGCAAAGAAACAAUUCUCAAGGCCCGAGUCAACAACAAUGGUGUUCUCAAGGAAACCAAGGAAAUUGGAACAAUCAAAACCACCAAGACAAUUGGAGUGAUGUAACAACAAUCAAUAUAAUUGGAACAAUAACAAUAAUCAAGGCAAUUGGAAUAACUAAGGCAACUAAGGCAACUGGGGUGGCAACAAUCAAGAAUACUUUGGAGGCAACAACCAAGGGGGUUGGAAUAAUAACCAAGGGAAUCGGGGGUCGGGCUUUCAAAGGCCCUCGAUGUAUCAACAACCAAGCAACCCGCCUCCUUAUCCGUCCCAUGGUUUUAGCUCUACCAAUAAUGAGAUGGGACGGAUUGAAAAUAUGUUCAAACAAAUGAUGGAGAAAAAUGCCGACUCCGAUGCUCAACUAGCCUCUCACAACACUUCAAUCCGAAAUUUGGAGGUUCAAUUAGGGCAAAUCUCGCAAGCUUUAAACACUUGUACUAAGGGGGCACUACCUAGUGACACGGUGGUGAACCCGAAGGGUGGGAAAAACACGGGACCUGCCAUGGCCAUAACCACACGGAGUGGAAAAGGUGGGGAGGCAACAACCUCAAACCAAAGAAGAGUUAUGGAUGAUGAUGUAGUGAUUCAAGAAGAUGAAAUUCCAAGCAAUGUGGUUCAAGCUAGUGAAUAAGUGAGAAUUGAGAUUGAUGAAAAUAUGGAGGAGACCCAAGAAGAAGUAAACCCAUCUAGGGAACACGUGAUUGACAUACCGGAACCGGUAGUGCCAAAGGCCAAGGCACCAAUACCGAAGGCCUCCUCCUCCAUACCCUCAAAGGAUCGCCAAGCAAAAUAGCGAGAACCAAUUCAUGNNNNNNNNNNNNNNNNNNNNNNNNNAAUCGAGGAGCCUCCCACUUUGGAGUUAAAGCCAUUACCUCCAUAUCUCAGGUAUGAGUUUCUUGGCCCAUGUUCUACUUUACCAAUUAUUCUUUCCUCUUGCUUGACUAAGAUGCAUGUAGAUUCUACUUUGGCGGUGCUCCAAAAGAGGAAGAAAGUUAUAGGAUGGACAUUGGCGGAUAUUCGGGGUAUAAGCCCCGCCUUUUGCAUGCACAAGAUUAUUUUGGAGGAGGAUGCCAAACCAUCUGUUGAACAUCAAAGAAGACUAAAUGAAGCAAUGCAAGAGGUGGUCAAAAAUGAGAUCGUAAAGUGGUUGGAUGCCGGGGUUGUUUACCCCAUUUCCAAUAGUUUGUAGACCUCUCUGGUGCAAUGUGUCCCAAAUAAAGGGGGCAUGAUGGUGGUCACCAAUGACAAGAACGAGUUGAUUCCUACAAGAACGGUGAUCGGGUGGAGAGUGUGUAUGGACUAUCGCAAGCUCAACAAAGUCACUCGGAAAGAUCAUUUCCCGCCUCUAUUCCUUGAUCAAAUGUUUGAUAGGUUGGCCGGUUGAGCUUUCUAUUGUUUCCUCGAUGGAUAUUACGGUUACAAUCAAAUGCUUAUUGCUCCGGAGGACCAAGAGAAUACUACUUUCACUUGUCCCUAUUGUACUUUUGCAUUCUCACGGAUUCCAUUUGGGUUAUGCAAUGCACCGGCAACUUUUCAACGGUGUAUGAUGGCCAUCUUCACCGACAUGGUGGAGGACUUUCUUGAGGUCUUCAUGGAUGACCUUUUCGUGGUCGGGAACUCUUUUGAUGAUUGCUUGAACAACUUGGAUAAGGUCUUGGCAAGAUGUGAGGAAACAAAGUUGGUUUUGAAUUGGGAGAAGUGUCACUUCAUGGUCGAGGAAGGCAUUGUCUUCGGCCACAAAAUUUCAAACCAUGGUAUUGAGGUCGACAAGGCCAAAAUAGAGGUGAUCUCUAAACUCCCACCCCCUACAUCCGUGAAGGGAGUGAGUUCUUGGGUCAUGCGGGGUUCUAUCGCCGAUUCAUCAAGGACUUUUCUAAGGUGGUAAAUCCCUUGUGUAAAUUUUUGGAGAAGGAUGCCAAGUUCCAUUUCAAUGAGGAUUGUAUGAAGGCAUUCGAAUUGCUCAAGUUCAAAUUGACUACUACUCUUAUUAUCACCGCACCGGAUUGGAGCUUGCCUUUUGAGCUUAUGUGUGAUGCAAGUGAUGUGGCGGUUGGAGCAGUGUUGGGGCAACGUAUCGACAAAAUCUUCCAUCCGGUCUACUACACACUUGUCACGACCCAAAAUCCUAACUUGUCGUGAUGGCGUCUAUCUCAGUACUAGGCAAGCCGACAACAUCAAUAGCCCAUAAUUUCCUUUAAGUUUGAAAACAUAAUGCUUAAUACAAUAACAAAAAUCUAGCAAAUUCCGAUACAAACAUUCCCAAAACUUAAUGUCACUGAGUACAUGAGCAUCUAUGCAUUACAAGCCUAGAAAACACGGUCUAUAAUAGUCUAAGACCAAAUACAGUAAACAAGAGAUAGGGAAGGAGAGACAAGGUCUGCGAAACACAACAGCUACCUCUGAAUCUCCGAAAAAUCAACCGUGCAAAAGAAUCAACACCCACUAUGUCCAGGAUCACCUGGAUCUGCACACAAAGUGCAUGGUGUAGUAUGAGUACAACCAACUCAGUAAGUAACAAUAAUAAAUAAAGAACUGAAAGUAGUGACGAGCUUCUCAGCUAAGUCCAAAUACAGUACUUUCCAAUAUAAAAGAGUAGGCAUGCUCUCAAGUUCAAUAUUUAAGAUUUCACUGAAAUUUCAUAUCAAGUUUGACCGAAACAGAAAAUAAUAUUUUUUCGAAAUUUCCAAAAUAGUGAUAUAUGACAACUGAAAUGAAGAAAAGAAUGAAAUCAAUGCAUCCUCACAGAGUAACAGUCACUCAGUCCUCCCAUUUACUCCAACCUCACAGUCACUCUUUCCUCACAGUCACUCAUCACUCGGCACUCGCACUCAGUAGGUACCUGUGCUCACUGGGGAUGUGUACAGACUCCGGAGGGUCUCCUUCAGCCCAAGCGCUAUAACAAGCCAAUCGUGGCAUAAAUCAACAAAGCAUGUUGCGGCGUGCAGCCCGAUCCCAUAAAUAUCCUCACAAUUAGGCCCUCGGCCUCACUCAGUCAUCAACCUCUCCAGUCUCUCGGGCUCUUAGAAAUCAUGAUGAGCAGCCAAACAACAAUGAUAUGAUGCAUCAAUAAUGAACAAUAGAGACUGAUAUGUAAUAUGCAAGUAAAACCGUGACCGAGUACAAAAUAGUAAUUUAACAGAUAAUUCAACUUGUACACGACCUCUGUGGGUCCCAACAGUGUCAACACAUGGUUUAAACAUAAUUUAUAGUUCAAUUUCCCUAAUACGUGAAACAAUAUAUGGGUAGCAAUAAUUUAUUCAACAACACAGAUCCAUGGAAUUGACCAAGUCAUAAUUCUUACGAUGCAUGCCCACACGCCUGUCACCUAGCAUGUGCGUCACCUCAAAACCAAUCACAUAUCACAGAAUCCGGGGUUUCAUACCCUCGGGACCAAAUUUAGAACUGUUACUUACCUCAAUCUGAGCAAUUCCUUAUUCCAAUAAGUCUUUUCCUCGCGAUUCGGCCUCCAAAUGCCUCGAAUCUUAGUCAAAAUAAUUCGAUGCAAUCAACACGAGGUAUAGGAAUCAAUUCUAUAUGAAAAUGCUACAUUUUACAAAUAAAUCCGAAAUUAACUAUCAACAAUGGAGCCCACGUCUCGGAACCUGACAAAAGUUAUAAAUAUGAAUGCACAUUCAACCACGAGUCCAACCAUAAAAAAUUACUAAAUGCCGACUCUGAUUCAGCCUUCAAACCCUCAAAUCAAUUUUUAGAAAAUUUCUAUUCUAAUCCCCCAAAUCACGAAAUAAGUGCUGGAAAUAAUUUUAGAUUCAUGAAUAACGGACCAAAUAAAGUUAAGAUCACUUACCCCAGUCCAAUUUGUGAAGUUUGCCUCUGAAAUCGCCCAAACCGAGCUCCCCAACUAUUUUUAUGUCAAAAAUUGCCAAAAACUCUGUUUAUAGAGCCUCUGACGUUUUCGAGUGCCACAGGUAGUGUGGGGCACUGGCUGUGGCACAAUUUUCAGUAUCCCAAAAAUUCCCAGCGCCCCACGCUACCCUGGGCGCUGGCGGUGACGGAAAUUCAUUCCCAACACGGAAAUGGGUACAACUCUCUCAUACGAUAUCUGAAUUCGACGAUUCUUUUUGGUAUGGCUCCGAAAGUUCAAUAUGGAUCUAAUUAUUCAAUCAAAUCUGAAUUUGGAGCUCAUUUUAUUAAUGUUAUACCACUUAUUCUCAAAGAAACAACGUUAGAACAUUAUACAUUCGAUGCCAAAACCUAGAAAAUCAAGUCCGAUUGACCAAAAAAUUUGCACACAAGUCAUAAAUGACAUAAUGGAGGUAUUUCAAUUAUCAGAAUUGUAUUCCGGCCCCGAUAUCAAAAAUUAAACUCCCCGGUCAAACUUCAAAUUUAAAUUUCUAUUUUAGCCAUUUCAAGCCUAAUUUAACUACAGACUUCCAAAUAAUUUUUCGGACACGUUCCUAAGUCCAAAAUCACCAUACGGAACUAUUGAAAUCAUCAAAACUCUAUUCCGGGGUCAUUUACUCAAAAGUCAAAGUUUGGUCAACUCUUCCAACUUAAAGCUUCCAAAUUUAAAAUUUUCUUUCCAAAUCAACUCCGAACUUCCCGAAAUUUAAUUUCGACCAUACGUAUAAGUCAUAACACAUGAAAUGAAGCUACUCAAGGAUUUAAACCGCUAAAUAAUGUGUUAGGGCUCAAAACGACCGAUCGGGUCGUUACAACAGUAACCGAAAAAGAGCUCCUUGCUAUUGUCUUUGCUAUGGAAAAGUUUCGCCCGUACUUGAUGGGUACAAAGGUGAUUGUCCAUACCGAUCAUGCGUCGCUUCAAUAUUUGAUGAGCAAGAAAGAUUCAAAGGCAAGGUUAAUGCGGUGGGUGCUUCUAUUGCAAGAGUUUAAUCUAGAGAUUCAAGACCGCAAGGGUAGUGAAAACCAAGUGGCGGACCACUUAUCUCGUUUGGAGGAGGAGGGGAGGCCACAUUACGGCCUUGAGAUAAAUGAUUCCUUCCCCGACGAGCAGCUUCUAGCCAUUUCAAUGACCGGGAUGCCAUGGUUCGCCGACUUAGCCAAUUAUCUUGUGAGUGGUAUUGUACCGAAUGAGUUCUCUUAAAACCAAAGGAAGAAGCUCAAACGGGAUUGCCUUGACUAUUAUUGAGAUGAAUCGUAUCUCUUCCAGAUUUGUACUGAUGGUGUGAUUCGACGAUGUGUACCGGAGGAGGAACACGUGGAAAUUCUUGAGGCUUGCCACUCUUCACCAUAUGGUGGUCACCAUGGGGGAGCUAGAAAAGCAACAAAAGUGUUGAGUUGUGGAUUCUAUUGGCCUACUCUUUACAAGGACGCUAGCGAUCUCGUCAUGAGUUGUGAUGAAUGUCAAAGGGCCAGUGGGAUUUCAAAGAAAAAUGAGAUGCCCCUCACCACCAUCUUGGAGAUUGACAUUUUUGAUGUAUGGGGCAUUUAUUUCAUGGGUCCGUUCGUGAGCUCUUGUGGGAACACUUAUAUUUUGGUAGCGGUGGAUUAUGUGUCAAAGUGGGUUGAAGUCAUGGCUUUACCCAACAAUGAAGCUCGAAGUGUGGUGGCAUUUUUAAAAAAGAACAUAUUCACAAGAUUCGGUACUCCAAGGGCCAUUAUUAGUGAUGGGGGAUCGCACUUUUGCAACAAAGCUUUUGAUACCUUACUCACAAAGUAUGGUGUCACUCACAAAGUGUCGACCCCCUAUCAUCCUCAAGCAAGCGGGCAAGUGAAAGUCUACAACCGGGAGAUCAAGAGUAUUUUGUCAAAGACAGUGAAUGCCAACCAGACGGAUUGGUCAAAGAAACUUGAUGAUGCUCUUUGGGCUUAUAGGACGACUUACAAAAUACUGAUUGGUAUGUCUCGGUACCGGUUAGUGUUCGAAAAAGCUUGUCACCUUCCGGUGGAACUUGAGCACAAAGCUAUGUGGGCAUUGAAGAAGCUUAAUCUUGAAUGGGAUGUCGCCACCAACUUGAGGGUGGCACAAUUGAAUGAGCUUGAUGAAUUCCGGUACCAUGCAUAUUUAAGUUCGUCCUUAUAUAAGGACAAGAUGAAGUACCUCCAUGACAAGUACAUCCAGAAUAAGGAGUUCAAAUAAGGUGAUCUUGUGUUAUUGUUCAAUUCUCGGUUAUGAAUAUUUUCGGGAAAGUUGAAGUCUACGUGGAGUGGUCCAUUUGAGGUUGUGCAUGUGACACCCUUCGGUGCAUUGGACUUGAAAAAUAAAAAUGAUGAAGUGUUUAGAGUCAAUGGUCACCGGGUGAAGUAUUAUCUUGGCAAAGUUGAUGAUGGCCACGUCGUGGCGUUAAUUCAUUUCAAGUGAUUGAUGGUAAUCUGCAUCAUGCCGCGACGUUAAAUCAGGCACUUGUUGGGAGGCAACCCAUGUUUCUUUUCAUUUUUCAUUUUCUUCUUUGUUAGAUAAGUUUUGUUUUGAGCUAACUCGUUUUGAAGUGAAUUUCAGGAAUGAGUGUGCAUUGCAGGGACUGUGUUCGAAAAAUUUGGUCUAGUGUUGAACAAAGUCCGGACAACACAAUAAUGAAUGCAACUGCAGAAAGGAUUCUGCGGCCGCACAAUUCUUUGUGCGUCCGCACAACUGGAGAUCCAAAAUAUGAACUCUCUAAAGUUUUGAGUUGCAGAGAGUAGGCCAUUCUGCGGCCGCACUCACUUUUGUGUGGACCGCAGAAUCUCAGCAAAGGUCCAGGUAAAGAGUGCGGGCCGCACUCAACUCAACUUUUGACUGACUUGGUCAAACUAUAAAUAGGUCCUUUGAGCACUAUUCAUAACUUUACACACUCUAAGUUCUUGAGACCUAAGCAAACACAGUGCACCACAAAAUAGCUCACACUCCAUACUCAUUUCAUCAAGUUUAGAUUCUCACCUGCAUCCUUCAUCACUGGUAUGUUCAAUCCAUGUUAGAUUUUUCCAUUUUUCUUAAUUUUUGUUCUUGAUUAGUAUAGUUAUUUGUAGGCCUAAAAUGUCAAAUGUUAUUCAUGUGUGCUUAAAAUCAUGUAUAGUUAUUUGUAGGCCUAAAAUGUCAAAUGUUAUUCAUGUGUGCUUAAAAUCAUGUGGGUUAUAUCAUGUGUAUUCAUUGGGGACUGGGUAGAUCAUUAAUCAUGUUUAUUUGCAAAUAUCAUGUCUAAAUUGUGCAAAAAUUGCAAAACCUAACGUCAGUGCCGCUUAAUUUCAAAUUGUGCGGUCGCACACAAAAUUGUGCGGUCCGCAGAUCUUAAAUUAGGACAAAUGUGUUGCAUAAAAAGUGCGGACAACACUCAAAAUUAUGCGGUUCGCAGAAAAAUUAUGCGGCCGCAGAAAAAUGUAUGCGUUCGCACUUGGGAACUUCAGAGAACUAGUGUUCUGAACUUGGGAAUGUGCGGCCACACUCAAAAUUAUGCGGUCCGCACUUUAGGAUGUGCGACCGCACUUUGAAAUUGUGCGAUUCGCACUGUCUCUUCUGUAGACUGUUUUCCUGGAACUGUAAUGCAAUUGUUUACACUGUUUUGAACUCUUACUGACUUAUGUGCCUUGUAUUGCAGACAAUGGUUCGGUCACGAGGUAGAGGCGAUACAUCUAAAGGGAGAGGUGAACCCUCCCGAGGUCGAGGAAAGGGCACUCACCCACUGGGAGUGCAAUCAAAAGCCAUCACCAAAAAGCCAACUACUGGGAGAGGUAGGGCCACAGAGCCCUCAGAAUCUAGUUCAUAUACCCCGUCUAGGGAAGCCUCCGAGAUUCAUUCAGUAGAGGCACAGCCUGAGGCCCAGUCCCAACCACCACAAACCACUAGGAGAUAUCAAUUGCGCAACGAACCCUCCACUACAGCAAGUUCUUCUGAGGGUUUUGAUGCUGGUAGCCAGGGUUCAGAGCCCUCUUCUACACACACUCCCUUUGCACCAGUUGCAGUAGAUUACGAUGACGUUCCUGAUGAUGGUAGGGGAGGUGACACUAGAGUGGGUGGACUAGAGAGGUCAAAGAAGAAGGAAGCAUGGGAAGAUAGGUUUGUGAGUUUGGCUGCCUUCACAAUGUUUAGAGAGUGGUGGCCUCAGAGAUCGCUCACACUUGAGCGACAAUUCUUGCUAAAGGAUUUGGAUAAAUACAACCCAAAUGUCCUUAAGCAGUUCAGGGAGCGCAAGGAGUGGAUGUGUUUCACCAAGAGUGUUAUGGAUGCCAAAGAGCACUUGGUACGGGAGUUUUAUGCUAAUAUGGCACACAUCAAGAAGGGUACCAAAGUGACCAAAGUGAGAAAUUUGAAAGUCAAAUUCAUCCAAGCACUCUGAACACUUACCUGGGAUUCGAGGAGGUAGAGGCAAUCUAGUACUUGGAGAAGAUUGCUAUGGGUGAUGCAGCUCGCCCUUGGUUAGCAGAGAUUUUGGUUGCUCCAGGGCCGCUACCACCGUGGAUCACAGAAGGGAUUCCUAUCACACGGGCUCCCUAAAUUUUGAAGCAAAAGGGUGGCAAACAUUUGUAUACAGUCGUAUUAAUCCAAGCUUGAAUGAGAACAAUCUUCCAAUUCCCCGCACAGUUCUGGUGGCAUCUAUUAUGGCCGGGUACCCAAUCAAUGUGGGUGCCAUCAUGUCGGCCAACAUGACAGUGGCUGUCCGAAAAGGUGAAAGCUCCUACCCAUAUCCCAACACCCUCACAGAAUAUCUCAUGGAUGCAAAGGUGGAGCCGAGGAGUUUUGAUACAAAAGUGCGGGCCAAGAAGCCCUUUUCAUGGUACUCCUUGCAAGGUCCAGGAAACCCGAAGUUCAAGGGUAAGGCAACUGCCACCGUUGGCCAGUCUGAUGAGCCAUCGGUGGUGGUUACAGAUUCUGUUGCUGAGCCAUCUACAACUCACAUGCCUUCCACAGCGACCGGUCCUUCCACCGAGAUAGAUGACAUGCCACCAUCUUCAUCUUCUAGACCAUCAGCGUCAGUACCAGUGCCUGCCUCAUCCACAUAUUCACUCAUUGCGCUACGAGUCUCCCAGACAUUGGUGAGUCUCAACAACUGGAUGCAGAUAGCUAUUUCAAAGCUGUCUGACAUAUCCAGUAUUGUUGUAGCACAGUCUUCUACACCAGCAGCACCACAGGUUCCUCCGUCAGUGGAGGAAACAUUGAAGAAGAUCCUGGAUAACCAGAAGACCAUUAUAGGUACAUUGGUGGCACAUGGGGGAGCUAUUGAGGUGUUGGACAAUCAGGUAAAGAAGAUGAGGAAAUCCCAGGCUUCAAAGAAAUCAGUGGAGAGAUUAAUAAGAGAGGUGACAAAGAUUACAACAACGGGUGAUUUGCCAUUUAACCUACUGAUGGAGACAGAUCCAUCAGUACCAGCAGACCCAACAACACCAUCAGCAGAGGCACCAGCUGGCCAGUCUGACGAGCCAGACCUUGCUGCCCACACUGCCGAGGAGAUGCUUCAGAUGUUAGCCAACCCCGUUGUUCCCCAGCCAGAUGAUGAUAAGAUCCAGUUGGAGGAGCCCGAGGGUGGUGAUGCCACCAGUCACCCUGAGACCACAUAGGGAGUUUUCUUUACUCUCUACCCUCCCUUAUUCUGAUUUUGCUAAGCAUUGAGGACAAUGCUUAUUUUUAUUCAGGGGAGUGGUCUAUUUUGGUUUGAUUUGAUGACAUUUGCCUGUAAUAACUUUAAUACUCUUUUUCUUUUAUCUUUAUCUUCUCUUUCAUUAUGUAUAUAUUCCUCUCUCUCUUUUGAUUUAUAUAUUUUAUUCCCCUUGAUUUGUAUAUUCAUUUGCCUUACUUUCAGUAGUUUAUUUCAUAGCUUAUUCAUUUUGUUUUCUUAAUAGUAUAGCUUCUUAUUUACUUUAAUAGCUUCUUUUUGAUUUGUUAGCUUCUUUUUAUGUUUAAGUGAACAAUAAGCCUUUGGUUUUCUUAAUGUCGUGGUUCUUUCCAAAGGUGGGUUUUGUGUGAACCGGGUGGCUCUUCCCAAUGAUGGAUGGCGUGACAACCUUCUCAAGGGAUCGAGUCCAUUUUUUAUGUUUAGGUAGAAAUAAUAGUAUUAAUGAAUAAAUAAGGUUCAAGCAUGCUUCACUUGGUACCAACACACUUAACUACACGCUUAUGGUUAAAAACAAAAUUUUGGAAAGAAAUGGCUCUAGUUAGCGACCUUGUGACUCUUGUGUUGACUUAGGCAAUCAUCGAGUGGUUUAGUUGAGCCAUUAGAGAUUUUCAAUCUUGAAUGCGAUUGUUGUGGGCCCUCGACUUUAUUCUCUUUAACAAACCGGUUGUGUGAGGGGUGAGGUAUUUUGUUACAAGUCCAAGUACCCGUGCGAAUGGUCUAGAACUUGCCCCGAAUGUGUUUCUAGGCAAAAUUCUAAAUUAGCUUGGCUUGAAAAGUGAUUGUAGGCUCUCCUUGACCCGUUUUGAAACCUUUCAUAGCCCACCAAUGAUAUUAUUCCUAGUCAACCCUUUUGAGCUUAAAGCCUUUUUCAUUCGAUAAUCAUGUUACAAGCCUUUACCCAUUUUAUAGUGACCCUCUCUUGGCACCCGAGCUUUCUUAGGCACUCAUGAGAAACAAAUGGCGAAAAUAUAAGUUUGGGGGAGAGACGGGGAGUUUGAAGAUGGUAUCAAGGCACAAAAUGAGAAAAGAAAUGAAUAAGAGGAAAGGCAAAGAACAAUAAAGAAAGAAAGAACAAAAUAAAAACACAAAAAGAAAGUGAAUAAUGUGAAAGUGUUGAAAAGAUUCAAAAGAAAGCAAAAGUGCAAAGCAUGGAGAAAACAAAGAAGGAGAAUAUGAAUAGCAUGACCAAGAAAGAGUGAUGUCAAGUCUCUCUAAUUGCCCUAAGGAAAAAGAAAAUGACUCAAAGAGUCGACAAAGUAUGAGCCAAAAAGAGAAAAUGGAGUGCUAAAGGAAAGAUGAACCAAUUCCAUUCCAAUAUUUCCCUCCUUAGUCCAAAUGCCUUCAUUACAUGCCGAAAAAGCCCUACGUGAUUUCAGGCCGAGUAAGCUUACAUUAGUGGUGAUCUACAUGAGGGGCAAGCAUAUGGUAUUUAGAGUCGGGCUUGUGACAUUCUUUUGAGAGUGAUGAGCGAACCUUUUUUCAAUCAUUGCAUUGAGUGCUUCAUUCUUGAGUGAGAUGAGCUUACCGAGAGUAUAGGAGGAAGAGUUUGGAAUCCACAGUGACCUACAUGAAAGUGCGAACUUCCUUGAUGAAUAAAGUUAACUCUUGAUACUCAAGCAUCACAUUAGAUCUAUUUGUGCUUUAACAUUCAAAACAUAGGCUUGUUGAUGAUUCAUAAGUGUGUGGGUAAUCGUUGGUCCAAAUUGAUGUGUGUUUGAUUCAACUUAGGCCAGUUGAAAUAGCUCUUUCCUUGUAGAGGUGGGAAUUACCUUAAUUACUUGAGGACAAGCAAAAGCUUAAGUUUGGGGGAGUUGAUAAGUAGGGAUUUUGACCACUUAUUUGCACUCUUUUACUUUUAUUUUAGCUCAAAAAUGCUUAAAGGUAUUCCCGAGAACUAAUGAAAUGUGCUUUUUUGCAGGAAUAUUGGGAAAUGAGCCAAAGAGAUGAAAAUCAACUCAAGAAGGAGUAAAAUUAGACAAGGACCAAAACAAAGCAUAAAAGAGCAAAGUGCGGACCGCACAAUACUGUGUGUGGCCGGUUGACUAUGAAGAACCACUGACAAAUUCCCUUCGCAAAGUGCAGACCGCACAAUUAUUGUGCGGCCGCAAAAGACGAGGUUCAGAGAGAUGGUGUUUUGGGUCCCUGAAGAAGUACGGACCACACUAUUAUUGUGCGAUCGCAGAAUGCAAAGUACGACUGCACUCAUAAAUGUGCGGUCCACAGAAAUCUCCCAUGUCCAGCUCAAGUCCAAGAGUGCGGCAGUACUCAGAAAUGUGGGGUCCGUAAAAUCUGAAGAAGUGCGGCCGCACCCCAGAAUUGUGCGACCGCAGAAGUCCAUCCUGUCAAGCCAGCUUCAAAGUGCGGACCGCACACAUAAUUGUGCGGCCGCACAACCUCCGCAGGGGCAAUUUUAUGCGAUAAUUUCAGCUGGGUAUAAAUAGAUCUUUUUGUCAAAUUUAGGUCAAGUUUGAACACCUGAAAGUAGUUAGCCAUUUUUUUCCUUACUGUUUUGGGAACUUUGUAAUAGUUUAUCAUUUUAACAAUACAUUUUCUUCCCUUACUCAUCUAUUAUAAGUUUAUUCUUAGUUUCUUCUUUAGUUCCUUCAAUGUUGCCUAUGAGUAGCUAAAUUCUUAGCUAGGGUUAGGUCACAACCCUAGUGUGGGUGCCUAAUGGGUGUUUAAUUUGGGGCUGGUUUGUGAUUGAGUGUAUGAUAUUUAGCCUAGUUCUUGCUUGAAUUUAAGAAUUAAUGGUUGCAAAUAUUGAUUCAGGCCUAAUUGACCUAGUCUCUACUUGAGAAAGAGAGAAUAAGUCUAGGAAAACAUGGCUAACAAGGAAUUUGGAUAAACUCAAGAAAUUGAUAGCCCCAAUUAAAGGGUCAAAUCUAGAGAUAAUAAGACCCGACUUGAGCAUUCAUCAUUAGUUUUGUGAAUUACCCAUUUGGACUUGAGAAAGCCAAAUUGGGCAAAACCACUCAAACUACUGAGAGGUAUAAAGUGGAUAAUUGCGUGUGAUUGCUAUAUUACACUCCGAUCAAUCAAACCUGCCCUAAAGCCCACAAUCCAUUAGGUAACCACCUAGGUGAAAGUCGCGAUCCUAGCUCUUUUAUCAACUUGAAAAACAACAUUACCAAAAAUAUCUUUCCUUAGCUUUUCAUUUACAAACAAUAAUAUACUUUUUAGAAGUAGGAAGAAACAACCAAUUAUGUGGAAGUACAAUUUGGGCACGUCAUACACCUAGUCUAGAUAUAUACCUAAUCCCAUGUAAGCUCUCUGUGGAAUCGACCCCGACUCACGUUGGAUAAUUAUAAUUGCAUAGACCACUUCACAAUCCCAAUCAGUGGUGUGAAUUUGGGCGACAUCAGUUCGCACUUUGCUUCAGCUCUUAACAGGAGUUGGAUCUGCGGCCGCACAAUUCUACACUGUCGCCGUGUCUCUUGAGUUCUGCGGACCGCACAAUUUUGGGUGUGGCCGCACAUUUUAUUUCUGCGGCCGCACAAUUAUAGUGCGGUCCGCAGUUCUUGUUGGGCUUAGAGUUGGAACUCUCUGAACCUUGACUUCUGCGACCCUACAAUUAUUGUGCGGUCCGCACCUUACAUUGCAGCUCUGUUAAUUCUUCUUCAUGUUCUGCGGUCGCACACAGAAUUCUGCGGUCCGCACUUUAGCUUUUUAUGCUUGAUUUUUGUCCUUGUUCAAAAGCACUCCUCUUGAGUUUUAUUUCAUCGUAAUGGCUCAUUUUCCAAUACUCGUGCAAUUAAGCAUGUUUCAUCACUUUUCGGGAAUACCUUUAAAUAUUUUUGAACUAAAACAAAAGUCAAAAGGUGCAAAUAAGUAGUCAAAAUCCCCACUUAUCAGGGAGCAUGUUUGAGCUUAAGUGUGGGGUCAUCCCGAGCCUAAAUAUUGAGGAUCAUGUUGCUAGCUAGGCCCAAGAGGGUCUCAGGAAGUAUUUCUCAUCCUUAUUUUCAUAUUUUUCUCUGUGAUCAUGCAUCAAGGACUAUGCAUAACAUAAGUAUGACGUGGGAGAAUUACUUUCUGAGUGUAAUUGUAUAAAUAUAAAAUUCUCAUUAUUGUUUUUACCCAUAGCUAGAAGUUUUCUAUUUUAGAGUAGUUUCUUCAACAAAAAUAAAAUAAAAUACAAACAAAAAAAUUUAGAAAAAGCUCGGGAUUAAGUUCCCUUAAAAAAAAUUAGAAAAAAAAUUGGACAGCUUUCUUGAGGGAUUAAGUUCAAUUAAAAUACAAAAGAGAUUUUCUUUUGCUUUUAUUAGGAUAGCAUAUGUAGUAAUUCCCUUGGUUUUUCUUUGGGCACCGGUUCUUUUUCAGGGGAUGAAUUUUUGAACCGGGUACUUUUUAUUUUUAGAAUAGUGUAGGAUAUACAUACUCAGACUGAUUUUAACACACUUAAUGACUUGUUUGAUACCAGCAGAGUUAGACCUGGGCAUGAGGAUUAUAACUUUUCUUAUGAGUUUUUUAGAACUACUUGUGCCUUGAAAAAUGAAAUAGCUUGUUUUGUGACGCUUAGGCUCGUUUUCUUGACUCUUGUGUUAAUUGUUGUGCCUUAUGCAUUAAAAUUAUGGCUUAACUCUGUAUUUGCUUUGAUUGAGAGUUGGAAUGUAUCCAUUCUAAUUGAAUCAUGUGUCAUUUAUGUGGUGAGAUAUUUUGUAUAGUUCCAUAUAGUACAUUUGUGUCUAGAACUUGCCCUGCAUGUGAGUUGAAGUGAAAUCCUAGAUUUUGCUCGGUUUGAAAUAUGAUUUUAGGCCUUCUUUGAUGUUUUUUGAAUUUUAAUACUAUCACAAAUAAAAUUAUCCCUAGUUAGCCAUGUUGAGCCUGUAAAUCUUUUGUUUGACACCCAAAUUACAAGCCCAUACCCUUUUUAUUCUUAAUCGAUAUUAUUUUGAUCCAUUUACCUCUCAAAGUACUUAACUUGUAAAAUAAGUGCUAGGAGAAGUAAGGAGGGAACUUGGGUGGCUUUCGAGUGAAACCAAUGAAAGGAAGAAAUGUGCACUUGUUUGUAAGAAAUACACCACUAUAAGAAAUCAUAGAAAAAAUAUUUAGCAAAAGAAAUAAUCCAUCUUGUCCUUACUCGUGAAUGCGAGUCAAAGUAGUGGUUAAAGAAUGGAUGUUGUUUGUGAUGUUUGGAGUUAGGUUAAAGAAAGUUACGCUUAAAGUAAAGGUGACAAAUGGGUGGGUCGGGCCAAGCCGGAUCGAGAAAAAAGUGACCGGUCGGUCACCAAUCCGAGCCGGGUUCCGGGUUUUAUGAACCGGGCUUAAUGGGUUCGGCCCCAUCUGGUCAAAAAUUGAACCGGAACGGUUCCGGGCCUAAGGGGCGGGGCGGGUCCGGGUUAAUGUAAUAUUUUUUUGUANNNNNNNNNNNNNNNNNNNNNNNNNNNNNNNNNNNNNNNNNNNNNNNNNNNNNNNNNNNNNNNNNNNNNNNNNNNNNNNNNNNNNNNNNNNNNNNNNNNNNNNNNNNNNNNNNNNNNNNNNNNNNNNNNNNNNNNNNNNNNNNNNNNNNNNNNNNNNNNNNNNNNNNNNNNNNNNNNNNNNNNNNNNNNNNNNNNNNNNNNNNNNNNNNNNNNNNNNNNNNNNNNNNNNNNNNNNNNNNNNNNNNNNNNNNNNNNNNNNNNNNNNNNNNNNNNNNNNNNNNNNNNNNNNNNNNNNNNNNNNNNNNNNNNNNNNNNNNNNNNNNNNNNNNNNNNNNNNNNNNNNNNNNNNNNNNNNNNNNNNNNNNNNNNNNNNNNNNNNNNNNNNNNNNNNNNNNNNNNNNNNNNNNNNNNNNNNNNNNNNNNNNNNNNNNNNNNNNNNNNNNNNNNNNNNNNNNNNNNNNNNNNNNNNNNNNNNNNNNNNNNNNNNNNNNNNNNNNNNNNNNNNNNNNNNNNNNNNNNNNNNNNNNNNNNNNNNNNNNNNNNNNNNNNNNNNNNNNNNNNNNNNNNNNNNNNNNNNNNNNNNNNNNNNNNNNNNNNNNNNNNNNNNNNNNNNNNNNNNNNNNNNNNNNNNNNNNNNNNNNNNNNNNNNNNNNNNNNNNNNNNNNNNNNNNNNNNNNNNNNNNNNNNNNNNNNNNNNNNNNNNNNNNNNNNNNNNNNNNNNNNNNNNNNNNNNNNNNNNNNNNNNNNNNNNNNNNNNNNNNNNNNNNNNNNNNNNNNNNNNNNNNNNNNNNNNNNNNNNNNNNNNNNNNNNNNNNNNNNNNNNNNNNNNNNNNNNNNNNNNNNNNNNNNNNNNNNNNNNNNNNNNNNNNNNNNNNNNNNNNNNNNNNNNNNNNNNNNNNNNNNNNNNNNNNNNNNNNNNNNNNNNNNNNNNNNNNNNNNNNNNNNNNNNNNNNNNNNNNNNNNNNNNNNNNNNNNNNNNNNNNNNNNNNNNNNNNNNNNNNNNNNNNNNNNNNNNNNNNNNNNNNNNNNNNNNNNNNNNNNNNNNNNNNNNNNNNNNNNNNNNNNNNNNNNNNNNNNNNNNNNNNNNNNNNNNNNNNNNNNNNNNNNNNNNNNNNNNNNNNNNNNNNNNNNNNNNNNNNNNNNNNNNNNNNNNNNNNNNNNNNNNNNNNNNNNNNNNNNNNNNNNNNNNNNNNNNNNNNNNNNNNNNNNNNNNNNNNNNNNNNNNNNNNNNNNNNNNNNNNNNNNNNNNNNNNNNNNNNNNNNNNNNNNNNNNNNNNNNNNNNNNNNNNNNNNNNNNNNNNNNNNNNNNNNNNNNNNNNNNNNNNNNNNNNNNNNNNNNNNNNNNNNNNNNNNNNNNNNNNNNNNNGAAUAUUGCAUUAAGAAUUUAAGAUAAUAGAAUGCAAUGAAGAUGGAAAAAAAUUGCACUUAUAAUUUGCAAGUUCAAACUUGCAAAUUAAAGUUUAUAUUUAACAACAACUAAAUUAAUAAAAAAAGAGUAAAUUCAAAGUUUAAUUAUUAAAUAUAAAUUUAAAACUUCAAAGGUUUUGCAUUACCUUAGUAAGUUCUUCAUAAUCAAUAUGACCUUCUUGGCCAUCUUCUGGAGUGUUAAAUUCAAAGGCUUUCAUAGUUUCAUUUCAAAUUUUUAUUGCAUAAUAAUACUUCAAAUUAAUCUAACAAACUAAAACAUUAAGCAUAAUACGUCUAAUAAUUUUAAAAUAAUACAAAUUGUCUCAAAUCAACUUAAAAUCUUAAAUACGAAUUUCUGGAGUACGCUCAAGACAACUCUUCAUAUGCCUCCUUAAACAGACUGUGCCCUCCCACUUUCGACGAAGAUUUAAGACUCGACCACAGUUCUUGCACUUUACUUUGUGAACUUCUUUAUUUUCUUCUACCACCUCAAAGUGUUCCCAAACAUAUGAGCGCACUCUAGAAUCACGGGAAAUGAUUUAACUUGAAUUGAGAAUUCGAGUUUGAGAAAUGAGAGAUGAAUGAAGAAAUGAAGAGAAGGGGGGGAGUGUAUUUAUAGUUUUUCAAAAGGCUAAAUUAGUAAUUAUAAAAUGUAUUAUUUUUUAAAAUAAUUACCCAAAAAGGGCUAUUCUUGUCAAAUAUUUAUUGGGCAAUGGUCAAAUUGGAAGCUGACUGUUACCAACGGUCAAAUAAAUUUUAAAAAAAAAACAAAAAAUCGAAAAUCACUGUUGAACCGGGUUUGACUGGUCCGGUUAACCGGAUUUUUUUUUUAUAUGGACCAACCCUCCUAACCCCCCUAACCUAGCCCACCCGGCCCCUAACUACCGGUCUGGGCCAGUCCGGCUUACUACCGGUUUGGGCCGGUCCGAAAACGGGUCAACCUAGCCCAUUAAACAGGUUUAGCUUAAAGUGAUUACGUGACGUGUUAAAGUACUUAGGAUGGUUAAUCACUAUUUUCUAUAUAUAUCAUACUCGUCCCUUAGCCCACGUUACAACCACGAUAAAGUCCUAUCUGAUUUUAGACUGAACAGGCCUACAUUAGUAGAGAUUUACAUCACGGGCAAGCCUAUGGUAUAUUUUGUGUGCAUGUGGACUUCUUUGAGAGAGUGAGUGAUUUCUUCCAGUGUUUGAAGUCCUUAAAUUAUGAUUGAAUUUUAUUUGAGUGUGUGGACUAUCUUUCUUUGAUUUGUGGUGAGGGCACAUGUUUCAUGAUGGAUAUGUAACUUUAUUAAGCUCUUCAGUUAGAGUGAGUAAGUUGGCCUGAAAGUAGUUAUGCUAGGGAGUUAGUUUCUUAGAUUGAGAUGUCCUGAAUUUGCUAUUUAAUCAUUUUGAACUGUUCAAUAUUGUGCUUGGCAUGUUUUGAACAUGGGAAGGUAAGUAAAGAAUGUAUAUGCAACGGGCUAAUUGUUGGUAUCAACCAAAGUCAUUGGUGCUUGAGCUUAAUUGAAAAGUUGUGGCUUGAUUAUGAUAAGCUUAAUUUUGUUCUGUCUAUUAUAGGUUGAUUUUACUUUGAUCGAGGACAAACAAAGGCUGAAGUGUGGGGUGGUGAUGUUGGGCAUAUUUUUAUAUAUUUUAAUGUUAGUUUUCUCAUGUUUUAACUGCUUUUUGAUGCUAUUUGGUGUUAAAAAUGCUCAAGAUGUGUUAAUUAUUAGUUUUAUGAAUAAUUAAGUUGUGUGUGAUGAUUUAGGAUGUUUGGAGUGCAAAAAUAUGAAGAAAAGAUGCUCCUGCUAUAUGAGAAGAGGGUGGAUGUGUCGCAUCCAACCUUGAAAAAAAGGCAGCGCACCCUUAGCAGUAAAGUCGGAAGAAGGCAUCCACCGUAGCAUCCGCACCUGGGCGAAGCAAAGUUGAGGGAACAAAGGGUGGAUGUGAAACAUCCACCCCAGCAUCCAAUACUUAGAAGUUCAAGUUGAGGCGGAUGCGAAGCACCCAACUCAGCAUCAAUCCCUGAAGCUGAUUCGGAAAAGGAAAAGGAAAACUUUGGCCCACGACUUUUGUACGUAAUAUAUAAGCCAAAAUCGCCUCUUUUAGGUCAUCUAACAUACUAGGAAGCGGAGAAAAGCCAUUACAGAGUUCGGGAACCGUGAAAUUCAUCUUGAGUUCUUCUUUUCUCUUCUUUUAUUGACUUUUAUGUAUUCUUGAGAAUUAUUUGAGAUUGUUAUCAUGACUAUGCGUGGCUAAACUCGUUUAUUCUGGGGUUAUAGUUUCACAUGAAUGUUGAUAUUCGAAUAUUGAUUUGAUAAUUUAAUUUGUCAUAUUGGGUUAUUUAUUCAUAUCCUGAGUUUAAUUAUUUUACUGCCUAACUAACAGUGAAAUACUAUAAUUGAAUCUUGAGUUGAACUUGAAAAAGGUAAUUCUUGAUUACAAUAGGAUUGAAUAGAGCGCGAUCUUGAACCUAGUCAUUGGGGAAUUGAUUUGCAAAUACGAAUAGAAAUAUAUCUAUUUGUCGUGCUUAGCCAAUUGUGCAAGAGAUUGUCAAUGCGUUCUUUUUAUCCCUAAUCUCAUAGGAAUAUAGGGUUUAGAAUAAAUUGAAUAGGCGAGUAGAAGUUGUCAAAUUUCUACGAGUAUUAUUGUCCUUGCAGAUUAAUAACUCAAAUAAAUUAAUAAGUCGAGUUGAUUGAAGAAUUCAGCAGGAUUGUUAUCCAACCAUGAUCUUGAAAUAUUAUUUCUCAUUGAAUUCAACUCUUCGUGCUAAGUGUGCUAGUUAAUUAGUUUUUUUUUAAUUAAAAUAAUCAUUAGUAGAAUUAAUUAAAUAAAAAUCAACUUGAACUUAUUUUUGACUCGAUAAAUUAGAAAUUGCUUGAUUUAGUUUAUAAUUGAUCACUAAUACUCGUGGGAACGAUACUCUACUCACUCUUCAUUACUUGAUUGACCGCGUAUACUUGUGUGUGCGAUUUAAGACAACAGUUAACUAACUUUCCAUUAAUUCAAACACAUUUUUAAUAACAUUUAUACGAUUUUUUAAGAUUUUGUACUCAGAGGUACACAUACAUAUUUGGAAUGAAACGAAUAAAUAUACAGACUUUUUGAUAAAUAAAAGUCACAAGCAUAGAUAUUUUAAGUAAUUUAUUUAGUCUUUUCCCAUGUACUGGAAAAUAAAAAACCACAGUGAACGAACUUUAGCGCUUUUCGAGUUAGAUUUGGUGGAAAGUUUUGGCUGAGUUUAAAUUUUUUAGUGAGUGGGUAGUUUUAGUAAGUUAAUGACCUUACUUUUUUUUUUUGUAGAUUUUAAACAUUUGAAUAGUUAAAUAAAUUUGAAUUCUUUCAAAGUAGCAUAGAAUGAAAUAAAAUUUGUUAGUGUUAAGAAAUAUAGCUCAAAAUAAUAAUAUAGUAUAAGGAAAAACAAGCUAAGAGAUAUAGAGAGAAAAGAUAUAUAGAGAUUCUUAUUUUUUUUUCAACUGUGUGUCAUUUUCUAUCUAUUACAAGACCUUUAUAUAAGCAUGAAAAAUAAAGAAAUAUAUCAUUGAAUAUGUCAUUAAGCAUUUGAGAUCAUAGAGGAAGAUCAUGAGGAGGUUAUGGAGUUACAAUCAUAACUCCGUAAGUAUUAUAGUAGUGAAAGUUAUGGAGAUAAUGAAGAAGUAUAGUGAGCAUUACUCCUUUGAUGGUUAAAGACAUCCACCAUAAUUUAAGAUUUUAUAAUAGUUAGCACUUUUUGGAAGUUCAGUAUAUUUUGGAAAAUAAGUCGCCUAUACAACCGACGAUCUCUCUGUCUUUUUCUUAGCUAAUUUACAUGGAUGUACAAUAUAUGUGUAAUCCAUGUAAUAUAGACUUCUAUAAGCUCAAUUAUAACGCAUUAUAACCAAAAUUCUUGAAUUUCUUUGAAAGGACUAUCCGAGUUAUAUAUGGGGGAAAGUUUGGGCCUAAUUAGAAUUUUUAGUAAGUUAGUGGGCACUCUUAGUAAGUUAUUUUCUUAAAACUGUGGUCGCCUAUAGAACCGACGAUUUAAAACAAUAUAAAUAAAGGACAUCGUCUAUCAAGUGUGACCUAUUUGCAUUUUCUACCCUCAGCUUUUUCAUAAAACCCAAAACCCAACCCAACAGCCCAACUUCUUAAAACCCUCGCUUCUCUUUCGGACAUUUAGCAGAAAACUAUGUUUUAAAAGGCGAAAGAGCGUGAGUUGAGACAUUUUACUUAAUGUGGGGUAAGACGUAAGCCCUGAAACGAUCUUUAAAUUUUUUUAUUUAUAAAUUAAUAAAAUAGUAAAAUAAUCACAAAAAAUAUAUAUAAUACAUUAAAAUUUAAGAAAAUUAUAAGGGAUUAUAAAACUCAUAAAAAUAAAAUAUCUAGCAUUUUUUAUUAACAUAAAUAAUGAAAUAGUGUUAAAGUUACUAUGAGAUAAAAAUCAACUAAAACGUCUUAUCUUUCGAACAAUUUAAAAAACAUACGUAAUAUGUUUAAAAAUAUUAUCAAACUACAAAGUUUACCUCUCUAAAAGUUAAUAAUCAUUAACUUCAUCAAAAUUGUAAUUUAAAGUAUUACUCCUUAUAAAUAAAUAUAAAAUUUCUUUCAAUUAGCGAAAUAAUUAAAGUAUGAUAAUUUUGAGAGAGAUAGACUAAGAUAUGAAGACCUAUAGCAAGUGAUCAUGUAAAUUUUGACUCUUCAAGUGAUACUCACCCCAACGGUAUUCUUAAUCAGUAAAUAUGUAAUACUAUGACUCAUUAUUUAGAGUUACUCUUGAUCUUCAAUUUUUAUAGAUAAAUAAAACUUUAAUAAUUCAUUUGUUAAAGAAUUUUGAGGGUCAACAAUGCUAAUUAGGUAAUUAGACACAUAAUUUGCGUUAGGAAUUGUUAGGCGAGCCCUGAGCAUUGAGCGUUAGGCAUAUUUCGAGUGCACAGUCGAGCGCUUGGGGCGUAAGCCUCACAAAACCAAACCCCACACGUGAGCCUUAGGGCGUUUUGAUAAUGUCGCUCCCCGGAGAGAGCCCCGAAGCGAGUGCCAAGAAAGUCUUUUAAAAUACUGGCAAAAAAUACAUACACACACUCCAAUUUAACUCUUGAUUGCAAUAAAAGAUUUCUCUUCCUAGUUGCCCCUUAAUUUUACCAUGUGGAAAUAGUCUUGUGCAAAAUAUAAGGUACAAUUGCAUACAUAAAAUUUAAUAUGGUCCGAUCCUUUUUCAGACCUCAUGUAUAACGAGAGCUGCCUAUUGUUUGCUUGAGCUGCUCGAACUUGAUGGGCUAAUAACUUGUAGAGAUAGUUCAUGACAUAUUCAUAUCUAUAAAUGCAUGUUAUUAAGAUGAACAAAAUGAAAAGAUUAAAGUUAAAAAAAACUUCAAGAACGUUAUCAUUCUUUUAGAACGUACAAAAAAAAGUAUAGAAAAUUAAUGGAGUUUAUUAUUAAUAUUAAUGAGGGAGGAUGCAGAGGCGGCCACACAUGAUGAGUAGUGGGGUCACCGGCACCCAAAAACUUCAGCAAAAACUCCAUAUAUACUAGCAAAUAUUUUUAAAAAAUAGUUAGAUAUUAGUAUACGUCCCGUACUAAUCUUUAUGAGCAUUGAUAAACUUAUAUUGAAUGUCAUGAUGCCCGCACUACCGCUGAAUCCUAGGUCCGCUUCUGGGAGGAUGUAUAGUCGUUGAUUUCUUAGAUAUUAAAAAUUGAGUAAAAUUGUAGUGAAGUGAGUAAAGAAUUAAUUUCACUUUUGUGCAAUUUUAUGUAAUUCUAUCUAUUUUAAGUUGCUUCAAAAAAAGGAAAAAAUAAAAAAAUAAAAAGGUUGCUUAAUGAAAUAAAAAUAAAAAAUGAAGAAAAGUGAAAAAGGCCCGUUUAUAACCAUGAUUUACUAUUUUACCCUUUUCAAUCAAGUAUAUGUUCUCGGUUCGAGUCUGGCGCAAAGACUGAAUUCUAGCGUACUUUGGAAAGGGACAAAAUUGUCCAACUCUAUUUAAUACAAUAUACUCCAUAUAAAUAAAAUACUGAUCGAUUAGUGUUGUGAAUACUGAAUGAGACCCCUCCCUCAAAACUUUGGGUUUACUGUAAAAAUUUCAAAUCGGAAAAUUUCGCCGGAAAAAUGUCGGGGAAAGGAGCAAAGGGAUUGAUAACAGGGAAAACAUCGGCAAAUAAAGACAAAGAUAAGAAGAAACCCACCUCUCGUUCUUCUCGUGCCGGUCUUCAGGUUCCCGCCCUCUUUUCCUCUUUUACUUUCUAUUUUUGUCCAAUAAAUUAUCUGGGAUUUUGUUUAAUUCUUAUGCAACCUAUGUUUUGCUUAGAUUUUUGGGUUAUUGUUGUAAAUUAGGGAUUUUUAUGAGACAUGUCUUAGAAUUGUGUUUUGAUAAUCGUGGUAUCCGGCCAGCUAGACUAAUUCCACGGGUUACGUGCUACCUCCUACCAGCAGAGGAUUUAUAGUCCCACGAGCCUGGUACCCUGGCUCGUGGCGUGAGCGAAACCGCGAGGCUCCCAUGCUUGCCCUUUCGCCACACUAGGGCCUUAGUGAGGGAGGGCGUUGUGUGCCGGGCCUUUCUUGCGCAAGGGCUGCUAUUUGCUAUCGAUCGAUAGCUAUCAUCUCCAAGAUAUCACUCACCAUUAGGGGUUGGACGUUCAGUACUUCGGUUCGGUAUUUAAGAACUUUGAUUCGGUACUUUGGUAUUCGGUUUUUCAAUUGUAUAUACCAAAUACCGUACCAAAGGUAGUUCGGUAUUUCUUGUUCUGUUUGGUCAUGUGUAUGUAAUAACUUAAAUAUAGCUGCCAAAUAAAUUGAGAACUAAUGUACUUUUGGAAAAGAAUAGUACCAUCUUUUAAGUAGGCAAGUGACAACAAAUUUCUAUCCACAUUUUGCUUACCAUACAAUGCGUGAAAUGUAACUAGAAUCUUGCCAUAAUUUUUGACAAGAUAAUCAUAACUUUAAGGAACAAAUAUAGCUAACUGAACUGUAGCCAAAUUUGAAAAAUAUUGAAAUAGCAUAUCAAAUAUUCAAAUGGGCAGUAGCAAAGUAGCAUCAUAUCAACACUCUACAGCAGUAGCUGUAAUGGUAUACUAACUCAGACAUUUUGAGCCCAUUUUUCCUCCAUUUUCGGGCGAUUUCAGAGCUUUUGAGAAGGGAGUUCAACUAACAACUUGAAGGUAAGUUAAUUCUACACCCCUUGAGUUAAAUACAUAGAUUAUAAGUAGAUUAUAACUAGUAAAUCUUAGAAAUCAAAAGUUUAGGUGAAAAACCUUGAUUUUUAUAAAAAUGAGAUUUUAACCACGAAAAUAGUUAUGGAAUUAGGUAGAAAUUAUAUAUUUGAGUUCUUCAGAUUAUGGGUAACGUUCCAUCCGGAAAUUUCCAGAAUCCGGGCACGUGGGCCCGGGGUGAAUUUUAGGAAUUUUAUCAUUUUGGAUAGGGUAAUUUAUUUAAUAGAUGAAUUUCGAAUUAUUGAACAUAUAUUAAUCAUUUUAUAUAACUUUUGGAUAGUUUCGGAUUUUUCGGCAUUGAAUCGAGAAUUUUACGCGACGCGAUAAUCGGAAAGUGGGCUUUGAGACGAGGUAAGUCUCUUGUCUAAUCUUGUGAGGGGGAAUUACCCCAUAGGGAUUAAAUUGAAUAAUUAUUGAUAGCUGAAUAAUUUUGUUAUUCUGGUUUCUCUACGCAAUGCACGACUUGUGUCAAUACUAAGGUCUGUCAGGUAGUGGUUUUAUUCCAGGAAUUCUGUUACUCUUCUUUGACUCUUGACUUGGAUCGUGCAAACUUGCAAACUGCCAUGUGUAGUAAUGUCUUUAAAUUUUUUUCAUCAGCAUCUAAUAUUAUUAGCAGGAUUAUGUGACCUUAAAUUCUGCAAAUACCUUUAUCCUUGGCAGUGCUGGGAUCAAAUGACUAUCUUUCGUUAUGGUUUCUAAACUGUUUGGCUUGUGCCUUUUCAGUUUCCAGUUGGGCGUAUUCACCGAUUGCUGAAAGAGAGGACCACGGCAAAUGGGAGAGUGGGAGCCACAGCAGCUGUCUACUCUGCUGCUAUCAUGGAGUAUCUGACCGCUGAGGUAUUGGAGUUGGCUGGAAAUGCGAGCAAGGAUUUGAAAGUGAAACGUAUCACUCCAAGACAUUUGCAGCUGGCAAUUCGAGGUGAUGAGGAACUUGAUACUCUGAUCAAAGGAACUAUAGCUGGAGGAGGUGUAAUACCGCACAUUCACAAGUCGCUCAUCAACAAAUCUUCGAAGGAGUAAUUAAGCCUGUCUCUUACAAGUUGUCUCCUUCCUUUUUGGAGAAAUAUUCGUUUCUGGAAACUUUAGCCAUUUGCUUUUGGUGUCUGCAAAUGCAUAGGCAGAGAAUUUCUGUACCAACUACUUUUGCAUAUUCUAUCUAGAUUCUCCUUAGGUUUACCAGACAUGGUUCUUUGCUGAUAUUAGUAAUGUCGCAAGUGAUUGUCUUAUUUCCUCUAUUAUCUCUCAAGCCCUUUACUUAACACAUCCAUCAAUGAAUGUGAAUUGUGAAUGCUGUCAUGGUGAUUGGUGGGGAUUAGAUAGAUCCUCUGUAGUGUCUGAACUCAGUGUUACUAAAAGCCAUCGCUUCAUCGCUUAAAACAUGACGUGAUGCGAAGCAAGAGGCUAUUGCUUCAUGGGUGAAGCCAUGCACUUAAGAGAAACGUGCGCUUGCGCAUAGUGAUCCAACGAGAAGUUGUCGGGUUUGUUUGCAUCUCAACUUUGAGUUGGACUAGUAUCUGCAUCAUUAUACAUUGGAUGCUGAAAUUUAAGUUUCUAAAUGCAAUUUGAUUAGUAUGUUUAAAAUUUUUGUACAUCGUGUAUUUCACUUCAUAGAAGCGUGCACUUCUCAAGCCUCGUGGACCUUGUCUCUUAUUAUGCAUUUUUUGCUUUUAAAAGGCACAACUUGGUGUUUGUUUUUCCAGUUUAUACGAGAUAGAAUUGUAGAGCAGGAGAGCUGGCAACUUCAAAAUUUGAAAAGGUAACAAUAAACCUAGCUGUAGAAAAGAAGUUGAAGAGGACCAUCCCAUUUUCAAGUUGUAGUUUGAAAAGAAAUUGUUGUGUGGGAAAUUGCAGAACUGGUCAAUGGUGAAGAUCUAUGUCCUUUUUAGGCGAAUACGGAAGUCUAGAGACUUUUAAUUGAACUUUUAGGAUUUUUUGCCGUAGUGGAUAGAAUUAUCAGAUAUAUGUGCUGAUCCGAGAAAGCAAGUACCGGUGGAACAGUUGAAGUGCGUGUAAGUUGGCCUAGCUUGCAUCAACUUGUACUGUUCAUACUGUGGUAGAGUUGUCAAAGAUUUUGCAGCAAUAUUAGAAAGUGAAUCAACAUUAUCCUUAAAUGAAUCUAUCAAGAUUACAAGUUUUAAUAAAAAUUCACAAUCUGAAUAAGCUUCCAAUAAUAGUUGAUUGAAUUCUAGUACAAUUAUUAACAUCCAAAAGACAACAAAAUUCCUGUAUAGACAACUAACAAAAUGCCCUUGCUUGUAGUUUACUUCUAGAUUCACCACUACUGAUAAAGACCCUUGGAGUAAGAUGCAAAAAAAUUUACAAUGCCAUUCCUAUGGCAAAGCUAACAAACUUUCCCCAGAAAAUCAAAAGAAACAACUGCCAACAGAGGCUAAUUCAGCAUAUACGCGCGCAGUGUGUGCACGUGCACCCACUGAGUCGA
Molecule: long non-coding RNA, 68415 nt
Filed under: Nicotiana tabacum (common tobacco)
Lineage: Eukaryota; Viridiplantae; Streptophyta; Magnoliopsida; Solanales; Solanaceae
Description: long non-coding RNA (NTAB_LNC013255)
Source: RNAcentral